UUAAAUCAAUCUAGUGUGCCGGUUAACCACACGCGCUCCACUAACUGACAUAAGCAAAGUGCAAAGUGUAAUUUCAUGGGUUCGCACCAAAUUCACAUUUUCCUAAGUAACUAAGAUUGGGUAUUAAUAGGAGUUUAGUUACUUAGUAUUUAUCAUUAAUACUUUUAAUGAAGGGAGAAUUAUAGUCCUUGUCCUACCCGUUCGGCUAACNNNNNNNNNNNNNNNNNNNNNNNNNNNNNNNNNNNNNNNNNNNNNNNNNNNNNNNNNNNNNNNNNNNNNNNNNNNNNNNNNNNNNNNNNNNNNNNNNNNNNAUAUAUAUAUAUAUAUAUAUAUAUAUAUAUAAUUAUUAUUAUUAUUAUUAACUUAUAAUAUUAUAAAGUAUCAGGGUUGAAUUUUAAUUUUUAAAAUUCUAAGGGCUUAACUUGGAAUUAAAGUAUUCAUAAGUGAAAACUUUACAAAUUCCAAAACUUGAGGGCAAGUUUUUGAAACUAUUCAAAACUUUUCAUUUCAUAACUUAUGAGUUUAAUGGUUCAUUAAAAUGAAGACUCUUCAUUUUUUUUAUGUAACAUCUUAUUCUUUAAUAACACUUUUAAAGAAGUGACUCUUAAACAUUCAUAACUUGAGGACAAGUUAUGGAGUCAUAAUACUAUUUAAUUAAGAAAAACUCUUCAUUUUUUAUGUAACCUAUGGCACUUUUAUGAGUUUUAAGAUUCAUAAAUGUGACAUUUUAUGUAACAUGAGGACAAGUUACAAAAACACAUUUUAUGAACUACCUGUAGAUUAAUUAGGAUUGAAAACAACUAAAACACAAUUUUUUCAUUAAUCUAAACUAACUCAUAAAUCAAGGUAACAUAAAACUCUUGGUAAUCCAUAACUUAUGGACAUGAAUGCUUGUUUUAUGAUGAAACUUUUUAUGUUCCAUAACUUAAGAUUAAGUUAUGGAAUUCUUUAAAACAUUAACACCAAAUUUUGUAACUCCAUAAAAACUUUGAAUCAAUUUUUUUUAAAACCUUUUCAUACCCAUAACUUAUGGAGAUUUCAAAAGAAGAACUCUUUAGAUCAAACUUUUAAAACUUAUAAAAUAAUCAUAUCAUUUUAUCUUUUACUAAAUUUGACAUAAUUCAACUUAUAUAUCAAAUGAUUCAAAUUUUAUAAAUAAUUAGUUUUUCACAAAAAACAAGUAAUUAUCUUAAAAUUUGACAAACGUCAUGUUUUUUUUUCCUUUUUUUUCAUCUUUGAAAAUUUGGCUCUGAUACUAGUAUUAGGUUUUGAGCAUUCUAACACUCCUAAGUGUACAUGCAACCCUAAAUACCUUGGAUCUAUGUUUUCUCUAUUAUACAUACAAAUAUGAAUAUCCAAGGUAUUAUCCUAACUAGCAUACCAAAAUAUUGAUACUACGGAAAUAAAAUAGAUAGAAUACAUGCCUUGUUGUUGUAACUUGUCUUCGUGAAGCUUGAGUGCUAGUGCCCCNAAGUGUGACACCUCAAAUGGUUCACACAACACCAUGAACACUUGGAAUAAUCUUGAGAAUAAGGAUACUUUGGUUCUCUCUAGUGAAAUCGGCCUUGCCCUUUUGUGUACACACACUAGUCUCAAUUUCACCAACGAAGGACAUCUUUAUAUAGUGUGGAGAUUAGGGUUAAACCCUAAUACCCAUGACCUUUCAUUUCAUAUGAUCCAUGGGUUAAACACUCCAUGGACUAUCCAUGAAAGCUUAGCCCAACCUAAAUGAACUUGGCCCAUCAGACAUAUACAUCUAAGAGUCCAUAUUUAAUUAGUUCCUUUUGAUCACUUAAUUAAUUGCAAAUUAAUUCUUGAUCCAUACUAAUUAAAUAAUAUGAUUAUAUAUUAAAAUAUUAGAACUUAUAAUAUAUUAAUAUAAAUCACUAGUAUCCUUUUUCCUCAUCUUGUCUAUCCAAUUGUCCCGAUUCCAUUCAACCCAAAUGGACAAUGCCGCGUCGGGUCUAGUCUUACCAAUUAUAGUUAUGGACUUAGACAUUAAUUUAACACGUUUUUGGGAAGGAGUUUACUUGAUGAAAUACCGGCUUUACUCAGCUAGAGUUUCUGCUACAAGAUUAAAAACUUCGGGGCUUACUUUGGGUUAUAGAUAUGAUAUCGAGGCUUCGGGGGGUUGUAAGUACGUUUGUGGGAGUGAAAGAAGUGAUAAAGUGUGAAAAGUGUUCUAUUUCCGAUAGCGAAUUACUUGACUCGAUGGAUGGAGGUAGAGCCCUCCAACUCAAGCACGAAAUCAAAAUAGAGGAGUGAAAACCGGAGAAUCUCGCACCCUUUAUAUAGGUGCAAGGGUUCGGUCCGAAGGGGGGAGGAGGCGACACGUGUUCGAACAAGCGGCGAAGGGGAGAGCAGGUGGCGGCUACGGAUGCGAGGUGCGUCGGUUUCUCAUUGGGUCACAUCUUUUGCUGAAUCAUCGACGGACACAAGUCAGACACGGGGCGAUCUCGCAUGUGAGGUGAUGUGCUAGAUCCUAGCCAUGCGAAUUUUCCCGGUUUUCAAGAUUUUUCGGUUAUUAUGCCUAAAACUUGCAAAAUUCAUAAGAUUCACAUAUGAGCUCCGUUUUCGACGUUAAUUAUAUGCACGUGUAGGUGAAAUUAUACUCUAUGACUUUUCUUUAGAUUUCGUAGGCUAUUUUUGAAUUUAUUUUUAAUAUUAUUAUUUUUAACAAACCUGGAAACAAAAAUCUGUUUCAUAACUUAUUUAUCCGAGGUCCAUUUUCGUCUGUCCUUUUACCAUUGUACUACUAUUGACGACACCUACGAUUCUCAUUUAGGUUGUGUUGGCUAAAAAUCAUAGGAUCUUUAUUUCAAGUUUUUAGCUGUAUACUGUUAUACUGAAUUUUAGAAAAAUAAUAACUUCCUCAUACGAAGUCAGAUUUUGACGUUCUUAUUAUAAGAGUUCUCGGUUUAACUUAUUCUACAACUUUCAUUCAGAUUGUUAAGGUUCAAAAGUCUUUUAUUGAAAAUUCACUUUUUACGCUGAACAGUGAUUUGCCCAUUUUGUCGCGGAUAUUCGUUUGGUCACAACUACUUCUUUAUAACUCGGAUUUUAGUGUUCUUGAUAUUUUUGAAAACCUUAUUACAAUCUCUAUCACUUUAUUCACCCCAAUCAAGAUUAUUUAAUACUUCCUUUUUGAGGGUCGAUUAUGUAAAUAAACAUAGUAUACAAAAAUUUCUCUUUAUUAUUUUAAAAAGAUCUAUAAAUUUAUCUAUACUAUUACACAGUUUCAAAAUAACAGGUUUUUACAUAUUGAUAUUGUAACACCAAGAUUUCCAAAAAUAAAAUUUUCAUUUAAUUAAUCAAUUUAAUAUUAAAACACUUGCUUAAAAUCUUAUUCACAUUCAAAUUACAAAACGUAGUUUCAUUUCCGUUAUAAAAGAAGACCAGGAUCCUCCAAAACACAACUCUUUCUUCGGUGUGUACAAUCGAACCGUUGCCAUCCCGCGUUACUGUAAGAACCUGAAACAACAUAACAUAAACAACGUAAGCACGAAGCUUAGUGAGUUCCCCAAUAUACCUUACGCACAUACGCCUUUCCAGGCCCUGACCUUCCGGUCAACUGUACAAUGCCUUCCGGCCCAUGAGAUACUCGCCUUCCGGCCCAUAAGAUAUUUGCCUUCCGGCCCAUAAGAUAAUUGCCUUCCGGCCCAUAAGAUAAUUGCCUUCCGGCCCAUAAGAUAAUUGCCUUCCGGCCCAUACACAUAUAUAACACAUAAUACAAAUACUCUAACACAUAAAGCACAUAUAUCAUAUAUCAACCUGCCUUCCGGCCCGUAACAUAUUCUAACACAUAAAGCACAUACACCAUAUAUCAUACCUGACCUUUCUGUCACAUAAUACCUUGCCUUCCGGCCCAUAUAUAAGCAUGUAUAUCACGCGUAGCAGCUAACUUUCCAUUUAUAGCAUAUAAACAUAACACAUAACAUACUUGACCUUCCGGUCACACAAUCAAACCCUUCCGGGUGAAGUAUAGUGAGAAGACUCACCUCGCGGACACUGGAAGAUAGCAACUCCUAAAAUCCCUUGCACUUGAUCCUCCGAGCUACAAGCUCCCUGUAACAUCAUAUAUCCCUUAUUAAUACUUCUAUCUUCCACGUUAACUGACCCUAAGAAAUCACACCAGUCAACUCUGGUCAACAGUCCAUUGUCAGCUCGACUGGACUCGGCGAGUUCCCUGGCGACUCGGCGAGUCUGGUCGUCCUUCAAUCCUCUAAGAUUCCCCUUCUACUCGUCGAGUAUCCUCUUUGACUCGACGAGUCACUCCUGGAAGAAUCGCGGGGCCACCCCGACUCCACUCGCCGAGUCUGAAGAACAACUCGGCGAGUCCCAGUGAAUCUUCAAGCUACUCGCCGAGUCUGAUCAUCCGACUCGGCGAGUCCACGCCAUGCAGUCGAUCAAACUGCUUCCUGAGAUACAUAUUUUCCCGAAUAUACAAACAUAGGACCUUCUGGACCUCUAAGGGGUACUAAUACAGGGUUAUAAACGUUGGAUAGUAACACAACAAUCCAUCUAAUCCCAAAUGGGUUUCAUAAACCCUAAAUUCGUGUACACAUCAAAAUAACAGGAAUGAUCCGAAACAUAACCUGAAAACGUACUCUCUGUGUCCCCAAACCUCAGAACUCGACCCCCUUGCUCUUCCUUUGGCCAAAAUCCUUCCUCUUCUUGCACCACAAUUCCUUCAAAGUCAAUAAUGGCCUUCAAGUUUGCUCUAGAUGCCACAGUCGUUUAGGGUUCUCCACAAUCGGCCAAAAGACGUGAAAUGACGACAUAACAACCCUUAUAUACGACCCAAUACGAAACGGCUAGGGUUUCCGCUGAACAGCGUCGACUCGCCGAGUCCAUAUCUGGACUCGUCGAGUCCAGUCGUGAACCCGCGACCAAACCUGCGACCCUACUCGGCGAGUCUGGCUCCAACUCGUCGAGUCUCCCCUUUAAAACACCCCCAAAAUGCAACUUAACAAUACUUGAGAUUUUGGGCUGUUACAAUUCUCCCCCACUAGAAUUAGACUUCGCCCUCGAAGUCUCACUCUGAAAAUAGCUCUGGCUGCUGCUCCCGCAUCUCACGUUUCGGCUUCCCUAGACACUACCGAUCUCUCCCGAGGCCGCUACUGAACCAAUACCAGAGGUACCUCCUUGUUCCUCAGAACCUUGAUCUUCCGAUCUCCGACGGCCACUGGCCUCUCGACGUAACACAGGCUCGCAUCCACCUAAUCGUUCUCUAGUAGAACCACUGCUGACUCAUCCGCUAUACACCUCUUCAACUGCGACACAUACCAGUGUCAUGGAUCCGUCCCAAUUCCGUUGACAGCUCCAAACGAUAGGCCACCCUUCCUACCUUCGCACCUUCACGAAAAGACCCAACAUACCGGGGCCCCCCAUUUACCCCUCUUCCUAAAUCGAAGCACCCCGUCAGAAAUACGAAGUCGCUGACCUGAAUCACAUGCUCGUAACGGCGUCUGCCUGCAUAACUUUCCUGUUAACUCUAGACGAUCACUAACUCUCUUUAACCUGCUGAGUCUGCUUUGUCAACUAAAGUACGAACUCUGAACUGCUCAUCACUCUCUGUAAUCGGAAAUUACCCAAGAUGCACUCUGCUCCAAAUCUCAACGAUCACUCAACCCAUAAGGGUUAGGAAACCCUGAACCACCGGAUCCCCGAUCCAAAGCCCACUUUGCCCAUUCUGGACCGACUGAGAGAUCCGUUCUCCCUCUCAGAUCAACUCUCACAAGUUCCCUCUUGCCAUCACAUACACAUACUGAACUAGUCCCAACACCCGCAGGUGGAAAGACCCGAUACACUGAUGAUAUCCUCGAACAUCUCCCAAGAUGAACCACUACAUCCACCCUACACUCUGAUCAGAUUCACACUGAGAAUUUAAAAUUUUCUCUCUCCAUGCAUCCCUUCUGAGCCUCAACAGACAUCCCAACCGGAUGGGUUCCUACUCCACUGCCGCGAACACGAUGCUCAAAACCAUACUCGAAAUACUCUAACCAUAACUCUGCUCUGCAGCUUUCACUUUCGUGAACUUGCACCCCCUUCGGAGUUACAUACCCUCCUCUUUUCCUUUUCCACGGAACCCUCUUGAACAUAAUGCCACUCCAACCGGUGCCACGGUGCUCGCCCCAAGCGACACCACCCUUUUUGCGUAACUGCUAUUCACAUACUCUGGUUCUCAUUGCAGGGGCUCUCAAUCCCAUGCACUCUCUCCACUCAUCAAAAUCACUGCCUCCGCUAAACAAGAUCAAUAACCCGGGGCCAGACCUUCCAAUGCAAUCACACUGCAACAUACGCGAUCCGCAAAUCUCAAACUAAUCCAGCAAUACCAACAGAGUCUCCAGUAUGACUGGACCGACUCUCAUAACACAUACUAGCCACUCGAGGCUAUAUCUCUGUGGGUCCGUACACCCAAACUCUGCGAACCCUCAGGUUCUAACUCUGGGAACCUUCCGGUUCCAGCUCUAGAAACAUGCACAACAUAAUCCCGUGGGAUUAAUGCAGUACAACCCAUCACGUACCUCAAACGUACCAAUACUCUGAUCGCAAAAUUCCGAUUACUUACUCAAGCUUGAUCCCGACCUCCUCUCAGGCCUCCACAAUCAAAUGCCCUAGGUCUGUAUCUCGCCCCGCAUACUCAACACUCGCUCUCGUCGGCCUAUACUUUGCGCUGACAAACACUGCUGAAUCCCAACAGCUAAGCACCCUUACAUACUCAUCGAUCUCCCGGAGAAUUUUACAAUUCUCCCCCACUAAAGCACUGACUAACUGCCACCGAUCGUCAUUAACGACCUUUCAGAACCAUCCUGCACAAAGAGAACAUUUACCCACUGACUGCUUCCCACAAGCGUAAGCAACCCUCAGCAAAACACAUCUCCUCCCUGAUCAAUCCGCUCAAAAGAAUCCGAUCUUUCAAUUAUCCACUCCACAACUGCAGAUGCUACCCGUCAUUCAACCCAGUGCCGCAUCUCCACUAUCAACCCUCACGAACGAUGACCAACGGAAUUCCCAAGCAAUAACCCAUAACCAAACCCACAACCUGCCAAAGGUUGAAUAUCGCAUCGAAAACCGCACAAGGCUACCGGUACCAAAACACCAAACUAUAAUCAUACUAAACCAUCAGGGAACAACGAAUGCCAAGCGAAAACCUGAAGCACCAAUCCAUAACCAUGCCAAACCCGCGAAACAACGAAUACCGCAUCGAAAUCCACACCAGACACCAGCACAAACAAUACGCCACAAUCAACGCAAGCUACUCAAGACAUCAAGAGAGCAUCAUACCCGCAGCUGCCUCCGGCACUGCUCCGUCUCCCUCUGCCGCAAGCCGAUAAGCACGACCCUGAGCCCUUGGGCUCUGCUCCAUCCUGUCCUCCUCCUGAACUCCUCAAGGUGGCCGAUGCUAGAGCCUGCACCGGUCCUGCAGGAAACUGAGGACGGUUGACCCUCAAAUGUCCAACCUGCCGACACUGAUAACAAAUCCUGAAAUCCCGAAUUGGCACUGACUGCCGACAAUCCCGUGCACCAUGCCCCUCCUUUCCGCACUUGCGGCAUGCACCACUGGGCCAACAAGCUCCGGUGCCAUCUCUCUCACACUUCCCACAAGUGUGACCGCUCCGAUCCCCCAUUCUAACGUCUACGGUCAUGGACCGUUUCGGCGCCGACUGCGACUGCAUCGGGGCCUGCCUCAUCUCACGCAACUGCAACUCAACCUCUAACUCACGCCACAUGGCGGCCUCCUGCGAUACCAACACGGUCUCGCGCCUCUGCGCAGACACGAACUGUCUGAUACCCCCCCUUGAGCAUACUCGGAUAUCGGGACAUCUGAGCCUGCUCCGAAGCGAACUCAGGGCAAAACAUCGCCCUCUCAAUAAACAUCCCGGUGCUCUCAGUCACCGACUCCAAAUCCUGCCUCAGCUUAAGGAACUUCCGAGCCAAUUUCUCCUUUUCAUCCCGCGGAACAUAGCGAGUACUGAACAUCCCUCUGAAUUGAUCCCAUGAAACCGCAGCCCUCUGCGCAUCGGAAAAUGACCUCGUGGUCAAUCUCCACCAAUCCUUCGCCCCGAGCCUCAAUAGGUUCAGAGCACACCCCACCCUCUGAUCAGCAGGGCAUAAACUCGUGGAGAAACACCCCUCCAUGUCUGAUAACCAUCUCAUAGCAACAAUCGAGUCCUGAACUCCAUCGAAUGUGGGAGGCUUCGCAUAAUAGAAGUCCCGAUACUGAAAACCCCGACUAGCCCCUUUCUUUGCCGUUGCUACAGCCGCUGUAACCGCCGCGGCAGCCGUCUCUGCGAAAGCCGCAUAUCGCUCAUCAAACUACUUCAAUCAUAGUGGUCCUGAUCGACCCAAACAAUUCUGGCGACUCAGCCCGCAACAAUGCAGCAACCUCAUCACGCCGGAUCUCGCGAAUCCUCGCAUCCCGCUCGCUCGUGCUCGUCCGAUCGAUAACCGGAUAACAAGAUAGCCACAAGCAUCAUCCACUACGAACCAUGGUACUCAUCCCAUGACAUCCCUCCUCAACAUGCUUCGGUGUAUGGUACCUGAACCAUAGCACCACUCCUCAAUCUGCUCCAAUGUAUAGCACUCGAACCACAACAUCUAUCUCAAUCUGUUCCGAUGUAUGGUGCCCUGACCAUAACAUCACUCUGUAUCCGCUCCGAUGUAUGGUAUCCGAACCAUAACAUCACCCCUCAAUCUGUUCCUUAGGACCUUCAGAAUGCCCCCUGUAUCAAGUAUGGGUCCUCUGCUUUCAGUAGUACGGGCCCAUACUACCUGCCACAUCUACCCAUACUUUCCACACGGACCAUCCCAGAGUUCCUAAGUAGCUGAUAAACCUGCUCUUUCACCCAUCUCAUCGCGCGUGCUCGCUUUCCAGCGAAAUCCUCUACUCUACCAGCGCACUCAUCUGGCUAGGUUUACUCCCUAGUCCCUUCCGCUGUCCUCCCACUUCUUUGCUAUCAGCUGCUGAAGAGUUCCUAAUGAUGCCAGCCCUCUACCUCCUGAGUAUCGUCAUACUCACUUGGUAGCUGACUCCCAUCAUCGAUAACUCCACAAAGCACAAAGCAAGCAGCAUUCGAGCAUUGAAGCAUACAUAGGACUCCCCAUCUGUGGUAGCUCCACCUUCUCGGCUCAUCCUCGGAAGUACCUCUGUACCCCGUAGCUUUACCCCUUGUGCGUUCUAACUAGAUACUCUCACUCAUCACAUACACACAAAAGCAUAACGCACAUAUAACAGCAAACCCUAGACUAAGGCAUCACAAAUCAGGCCACUCUAGUCCUAAGAUGUGAAAUACCUAGCCUGUCUCUAGCAUGCAAUAAUGUCUCAUAAAGUGCAUAAUAGAUAUUUCAUAAUACAAAAGUAAGGGUAUUUUGGGAAAUCACCGUUUGGCUCUGGCUGAUUGUACACACUGCUCUUUCUUGCUUUCUCUUUGAACUCUUAUUCACUUUUAGAAAACCAUUUAUUUGGAAAACUUUUUCUUACUUCCUCAGUUUGAGUCCAGAUUUACCCGUAGGCGCGUCCGAAUCCCUCAAACCAAGGCUCUGAUACCAAUUUGUAACACCGUGAUUUCCAAAAACAAAAUUUUCAUUUAAAUAAUCAAUUUAAUAUUAAAAACACUUGUUUAAAAUCUUAUUCACAUUCGAAUUACAAAACAUAGUUUCAUUUUCAUUAUAAUAGAAGACCAGGAUCCUCCAAAACACAACUCUUUCUUCGGUGUGUACAAUCGAACCGUUGCCAUCCCGCGUUACUGUAAGAACCUGAAACAACAUAACAUAAACAACGUAAGCACGAAGCUUAGUGAGUUCCCCAAUAUACCUUACGCACAUACGCCUUCCGGCCCGGAUCUUUCGAUCCACAUAACAUCGCCUUCCGGCCCGGAUCUUUCGAUCCACAUAACAUUGCCUUCCGGCCCGGAUCUUUCGAUCCACAUAACAUCGCCUUCCGGCCCGGAUCUUUCGAUCCACAUAACAUUGCCUUCCGGCCCGGACCUUUCGGUCCACAAGAUAAUCGCCUUCCGGCCCGUACACAUAUAUAACACAUAAUACAAAUACUCUAACACAUAAAGCACAUAUAUCACAUAUCAUACCUGACCUUUCUGUCACAUAAUACCUUGCCUUCCGGCCCAUAUAUAAGCAUGUAUAUCACGCGUAGCAGCUAACUUUCCAUUCAUAGCAUAUAAACAUAACACACAACAUACUUGACCUUCCGGUCACACAAUCAAACCCUUCCGGGUGAGGUAUAGUGAGAAGACUCACCUCGCGGACACUAGAAGAUAGCAACUCCUAAAAUCCCUUGCACUUGAUCCUCCGAGCUACAAGCUCCCUGUAACAUCAUAUAUCCCUUAUUUAAUACUUCUAUCUUCCACGUUAACUGACCCUAAGAAAUCACACCAGUCAACUCUGGUCAACAGUCCAUUGUCAGCUCGACUGGACUCGGCGAGUUCCCUGGCGACUCGGCGAGUCUGGUCGUCCUUCAAUCCUCUAAGAUUCCCCUUCUACUCGUCGAGUAUCCUCUUUGACUCGACGAGUCACUCCUGGAAGAAUCGCGGGGCCACCCCGACUCCACUCGCCGAGUCUGAAGAACAACUCGGCGAGUCCCAGUGAAUCUUCAAGCUACUCGCCGAGUCUGAUCAUCCGACUCGGCGAGUCCACGCCAUGCAGUCGAUCCAACUGCUUCCUGAGAUACGUUUUUCCCGAGAUACACACUCAUGGGACUUCUGGACCUCUAAUCAUCCUAUUACUAGGGUAGAAACCUUUGUAUAACAACAUAAUAAUCCAUCAAAUCUCCAAAUGGGUUUCAUAAACCCUAAAUUCGUGUACACAUCAAAAUAACAGGAAUGAUCCGAAACCUUACCUGAAAACAUACUCUCUGUGUCCCCAAACCUCAGAACUCGACCCCCUUGCUCUUCCUUUGGCCAAAAUCCUUCCUCUUCUUGCACCACAAUUCCUUCAAAGUCAAUAAUGGCCUUCAAGUUUUGCUCCAAAUGCCACAGUCGUCUAGGGUUCUCCACAAUCGGCCAAAAGACGUGAAAUGACGACAUACAACCCUUAAAUACGACCCAAUACGAAACGGCUAGGGUUUCUGCUGAACAGCGUCGACUCGCCGAGUCCAUACCUGGACUCGUCGAGUCCAGUCGCGAACCCGCGACCAAAUCUGCGACCCUACUCGGCGAGUCUGGCUCCAACUCGCCGAGUCUCCCCUUUAAAACACCCCAAAAUGCAAUUUAACAAUACUUGAGAUUUUGGGCUGUUACAGAUAUUAUUUUUUGUUUGGUUGGAAUUGACUUUUCUUUAAUAUAAUUGAAAUUCAGUAGUAGAGUAUAACUCUAUCUUCUCUAUGUUUUUCUGUUUUGAAUAUCAACCGAUCGAUUUCUAUUUGGUAUAGAUUAAUAUAUUCUUUUUGUUGCUAAAAUAUUAUAUUUUACAAGUAAUAAUUUACAAGUUACAUAUAUCUGGUAUCAAUAGAGAAAAGUGGAAGUAUAUUGAUAUUGUGAUUUAAAAAUAUUUUUGUCAUUUUAAAAAAUGAUUACUUGGGAUUAUGUGUAUGUUUAUUCAUUUUAAUUUCCGUAUAGCCAACUUUUGUUUGGUUUUUUUCACGUUUUUUCCUUAGAAAUAUGUGGCUUUUAAUUUAUUUUAAUUAUAUUCAUAUACAUAUAAGCUUUGAAGUAGACAUGAAGGCUCAGUGGUUAGUGGUUACAUGACAAGUCAAUUGUUACGUAUGUUGUCUAAAAGUUCCUAGAAUGCCCUCUUCCAGAUGAGGAAGUUAGAGGUUGGUUGUAAUGAGCUUUUGGAUUCUUUUAGAAAUGGUGUGGUAAAUAUGAAAAAUGCAUCGUUUUUCGUUCUGUUUUUUUACUUCAUGUACACAAUACAAGAUGGUGUUUAUAACCAUGACGUCUUAAAAUUUGAUGUUUUUUGUAGGUAAACAAUCCUAAAAAUGAAAUUGGUUCAACUCGUGAGAUGAGAAAAAAAACUAUUAAUUUUAUACACAACAACAUAGUAGAAUGUUAUAAUUGAGUUUUUAAUGUACAAUAUCCUAAUAAGAAAAAAAAAACCAUCAUCAUGCGAAGCCCGAGAUCAUCUACUACUUAUACAAUUAUUUAAACUUAAAAAGUUAAAUAUAUACCAACCGCGUUUUUUUCUUAAAUACUAAAAUAUAAUAUAUCAAGCUAUUGUGUUUUAGUUUAUCAUGGGUUAGUAAAAAAGUAUUUUGUAAAUUUAUUUUAAUAACAUUUAAGUUAAUAAAUUUAUUAAGUAAUAAGAAUUUUUGUAAAUAACCUUAUAUGUUUUGCUAUAAAUAAACAACCCAAUGUAAGAAUACCACAGAGCUUGUUUUAGAAUAUCAUGUGUUUAUUAUUUAUUAGUGCACAUACAAGCAUGGAUUACAUUUUCAGUUACUUGGGACAUGCCGCAAAUUUACUAUUCCAAUAUUCUAAGUCUAUAUAGAUUUAAUUUAUAUAAAGCAAUAAUAGAAAUAUAAAAUUGCGAUUGAAAAAAAAAAACAAAAUCAUGCACUCUAUGUCCAUAAAAGAACAACCUAAACUGGUCCGGCUUUUGGUUAAGGUAAAUCAAGAAUUUCGAAAUUUCAGUUUCGGUCUAAUUAGUUCAUCAGGUUGUUUGGGUUAGCGCUAUUGCUCUUACAUAUCUUUAUCAUGAAUCUCUCUUUAGAAUGGUACUAAUUUAGUCCAUGUAAUUUAAUUUAUAUUUUUAGACAAGUUUUUAAUAGUAAAGUGGUUACUCUAAACAGACUUAAAGACAUAUAUAAUGGAGUUAGAUAAAAAGUCCACAUGCUUAAGAAAAUGAAAACGUUUUGGAUGUAUUCAAUAUACAUCUUAGGAGUUUCUAGCUUCUAGGUUUCAAGAAAAUGCUCGUAAAAAAAACGAUUUCUUCGGGCAACAGGAGCAUUUAACUUUUAGUCAAUACAAAACGCUACAAAAUAAAAAGCUACAUGGAGAAGCUUUUAACAAAACGCUUCAAAAUUAAACGCUACCAGCUACUCGCUACCAAUUAUCCGCUACUUUUACCAAACACGCUCUUUGAUUACUAGUAUCAAAUUGUUAAAACAUGGACUACGACUCUACAAGUACUGUUGGAGAUUACGUCGAAAAAUCCAAUUUUCUCUAAAGUAUAGGUUAAUACAUAGCAUUUUUUUCUUAGGGUAAAACCGUCAUCGUAAAAAAUAUAACAUGAUUAGUUUUAACUACCCAAUGUUUAAAUGGGAAAUAAAAAGGAAAAAUAAUGAUGACAUUAUGAUAAUUUCAAAUAUUGACAGAACUUGCCAAUUUUUGUAUACGACAGGACCAAAUACGUAAAAUAUUUUACGAAUAUUGAGUCAAAAACAUAAUCUAACACUUUACCAGGCGGUUCUAAUUUAAAACAUAAUUCUCGCUAAAGUUAAUCAUGAUAACAAUGUCCCCCACGUUUUGUAGAUGUUAUUGUUAAUCCAUAACUUAUGGACUUAAAUGCUUGUUUUAUGAUGAAACUUUUCAUGUUCCAUAACUUAAGAUUAAGUUAUGGAAUUCUUUAAAACAUUAACACCAAAUUUUGUAACUCCAUAAAAACUUUGAAUCAAUUUUAUUUAAAACCUUUUCAUACCCAUAACUUAUGGAGGUUUCAAAAAAAGAACUCUUUAGAUCAAACUUUUAAAACUUAUAAAAUAAUCAUAUCAUUUUAUCUGUUACUAAAUUUGACCUAAUUCAACUCAUAUAUCAAAUGAUUCAAUUUUUAUAAAUUAUUAGUUUUUCACAAAAACAAGUAAUUAUCUUAAAAUUUGACAAACGUCAUGUUUUUUUUUUUCCUUUUUUUCAUCUUUGAAAAUGAAACAUUUGCAUCAAUAUAACAAAAAAACAACCCAUGGCUCUGAUACUAGUAUUAGGUUUUGAGCAUUUAAUACUCCUAAGUGUACAUGCAAUCCUAAAUACCUUGGAUCUAUGUUUUCUAUAUUAUGCAUACAAAUAUGAAUAUCCAAGGUAUUAUCCUAACUAGCAUACCAAAACAUUGAUACUAGGGUAAUAAAAUAGAUAGAAUACAUGCCUUGUUGUUGUAAGUUGUCUUCAUGAAGCUUGAGUGCCUAGUGCCCCAAGUGUGACACCUCAAAUGGUUCACACAACACCAUGAACACUUGGAAUAAUAUUGAGAAUAAGGAUACUUUAGUUCUCUCUAGUGAAAUCGGCCUUGCACUUUUGUGUACACACACUAGUCUUAAUUUCACCAACCAAUGACAUCUAUAUAUAGUGUGGAGAUUAGGGUUAAACCCUAAUACCCAUGACCUUUCAUUUCAUAUGAUCCAUGGGUUAAACACUCCAUGGACUAACCAUGAAAGCUUAGCCCAACCUAAAUGAACUUGGCCCAUCAGACAUAUAUAUCUAAGAGCCCAUAUUUAAUUAGUUCCAUUUGAUCACUUAAUUAAUUACAAAUUAAUUCUUGAUCAAUACUAAUUAAAUAAUAUGAUUAUAUAUUAAAAUAUUAGAACUUAUAAUAUAUUAAUAUAAAUCACUAGUAUCCUUUUUCCUUAUCUUGUCUAUCCAUUUGUCCCGAUGACAUGCAACCCCAAUGGACCAUGUCGGGUCGGGUCAAGUCUUACCAAUUAUAGUUAUGGACAUAGACAUUAAUCUAACACGUUUCUGGGAAGGAGUUUACUUGAUGAAAAACCGACUUUACUCAGGCAGAGUUUCUGCUACAUGAUUAAGAACUUCGGGGCUUACUUUGGGUUAUAGAUAUGAUAUCGAGGCUUCGGGGGUUGUAAGUACGUUUGUAGGAGUGAAAGAAGUUAAAAAGUGUGAAAAGUGGUGUAGAAGAAGAGUGAAAAUCGUAGAAACUCGCACCCUUUAUAUAGGUGUAAGGGUUCGGUCCGAAAGGGGGAGGAGUUGACACGUGUUCGGACAAGUGGCGAAGAGGAGAGCAGGUGGCGGCUUCGGAUGUGAGGUGCGUCGGUUUCUCAUUGGGUCACAUCUUUUGCCGAAUCAGCGACGGACACAAGGCGGACACGGGGCGAUCUCGCAUGUCAGGUGAUGUGCCAGAUCCCAGCCAUGCGAAUUUUCCCCGUUUUCAAGAUUUUUCGGUUUUUGUGCCUAAAACGUGCGAAAUUCAUAAGAUUCACAUAUGAGCUCUGUUUUUGACGUUAUUUAUACGCACGCGUAGGUGAAAUUAUACUCUACGACUUUUUUUUAGAUUUUGUCAGCUAAUUUUGACUUUAUUUUUAAUAUUAUUAUUUUUAACAAACCCAUAUACAAAAAUAUAUUAAAUAUUUAUAACUUAUUUAUCCGAGGUCCAUUUUCGUCUCUCUUUUUACCGUUAUACUACUAUUGACGACACCUACGGUUCUCGUUUAGGUUGUGUUGGCUAAAAAUCAUAGGAUCUUUAUUUCAAGUUUUUAGCUGUAUACUGCUAUACUGAAUUUUAGAAAAAUAAUAACUUUCUCAUACGAAGUCAGAUUUUGACGUUCUUAUUAUAAGAGUUCUCGGUUUAACUUAUUCUACAACUUUCACUCAGAUUGUUAAGGAUCAAAAGUAGGGCUGUUUACUAAUUGGAUAAAACCGAAUUGUCCAAUUGGACAAUUUGGAUUGGACUAUUUGGUUCAGAUAUUCGGAUUUUUGGAUUGAUUUUCAACAAAACCGAAUUAUUAUUUUGGAUUUCGGAUUGGUUUUGAUUUAUAAAAUAUGAACCGAAUAGUCCACAAAAACCGAAUAAUUAUUUAAUUAAUUAUUUAUUUAUAAUAUAUAUCUAUAGUUAUUUAUUAAUUUUGUUAUUUAUUUUUUUAAAUAUGUUCAAUACGUUUUACCCGAUAAAAAAAAACAUUAAUAUGCAUUUUCUCUCAAAAGUUUUCUAUCUAUAAAAUAUUUAACUAUAAUAUAUCUUCUUAGUAGUUGUUUAUAAAUUUCAAAUCACAACUAAAUUAUUUGUUUUCGUUUAUUGUGUAAAGUUGGAUAAUACAUAAUUAUAUGUCGUUUUAAAAUGUCUUGGUUUUUGAAAACCGAAUUAUAAAAACCGAUCCAACCGAAUUGUAAUUGGAUCGGAUCGGAUUGGAUUUGAAUAUAGUUUGGACUAUUCGGAUCCAUGUUUUGAGAACCGAAAUCAAUUUGGAUUCACUUGAUUGGAUCGGAUCAAACCAAUCCAUCCAAACGAACACCCCUAAUCAAAAGCCUUUUAUUCAAAACUCACUUUUUAUGUUGAACAGUGAUUUGCCCGUUUUGUCGCGGAUCUAUGUUUGGUCACAACUACUUCUUUAUAACUGGAAUUUUAGUGUUCUUAAUAUUUUUGAAAACCCUGUUACAAUCUCUGUCACUUUAUUCACCCCAAUCAAGAUUAUUUAAUACUUCAUUUUUGAAGGUCGAUUAUGUAAAUACACAUAUUGAUAUUAUUUUUUAAAAAGAACUAGAAAUUUAUCUAUACUAUUACAUAGUUUCAAAAUAAUGGGUUGUUACAUAUUGAUAUUAUUUUUGUUUGUUUGGAAUUGACUUUUCUUUAUUAUAAUUGAAAUUUAGUAAUAGACUAUAACUCUAUCUUCUCUAUGUUUUUCUGUUUUGAAUAUCAACUGAUCGAUUUCUAUUUGGUAUACAUUAAUAUAUUCUUUUUGUUACUAAAAUAUUAUAUUUUACAAGUAAUAAUUUACAAGCUACAUAUAUCUGGUAUCAAUAGAGAAAAAUGGAAGUAUAUUGAUAUUGUGAUUAAAAAAUGUUUUCGUCAUUUUAAAAAAUCAUUACUUGGCAUUAUGUGUAUGUUUAUUCAUUUUAAUUUCCGUAUAGACAACUUCUGUGUGGUUUUUAUUCACAUUUUGUCCUUAGAAAUAUGUGGCUUUUAAUUUAUCUUAAUUAUAUUGAUAUACAUAUAAGCUUUGAUGUAGACAUGAAGGCUUAGUGGUUAGUGGUUACAUGACAGGUCAAUUGUAACACCCUGUUUAUUUAUUAAAUAAAUAAAUAAACUUAUAAAGAUAUAGUAUCCCUAAAAUCAAUAAUUUUGUAGCAGGGUGUUAGUUACGAGGAGCUAUUUGUCAUAAUUUGGAAGUUGAGGGUUAAAAGUGUAAGCUCUGGACCCCGUUUAUAAAUAUUUAUGAAGGCAGGGACUCCAUGGUAAUUAUUUGGAAUUAAUUGAAAACGAAAUGAUGUGGAAGGGCUGAAUAUGUCAUAACUAUGAUAUUGGGUGUUGUCUGGUAAAUUUUGUACCUAAGAUGUAAAGGAUUUAAUGCGGAGGGUUUAAAUGGUAAUUAUCGGAUUUCAUUUGAAGAAGAUUUCCAAAGUUAGGGUAGAAAGGGUAAAAUUCGGAUUACAUUUGAUAAGAUCUUAUGGGGAGGGACUAGAAUGGUUUAAAGGGAAAAGUUAAAUAUGAACACUGGACAACUCCCGUCACCCUUGCUUAAGCCGAGUAUAUAUGCAUCAUAAACUCCCGUUUCAAACCCUAAACCUAAAAGUUGAAGACAACCGCCGUCGCCGGAGUUCUCCAACCGCCACCAUCCUCGUUCUUCGUCUCCGGCAUCGUUACCACCUGACCACUCCCCUCUCUUUCUCCGAUAUGGUGAGUUUUGGAUGACAACCAACGUCCAUGCUGGUGUCUAGAGUUAUUGCUGCUUCAUUCGCCGUUGGGGGCUCGUGCGACGCCUCCUUCUUCCGUCGCCGUAGCUCCAAGCGAUUCGGCGUUCCGGUUACUCUCCAGCCGCCGGAUGCCACCAUAUAGGGUGGUUGGGUUCACUUCUAGCACGUCGGGUGUAUUGUUGCCACCUUUCUGUGUCAACCACCGCCGCCUCAAGAGACUGAAGGGUUGUCGCCGCUGUUCCCAAUUGUUGAAGGCGAAGCCGCCGCCUAUGUUGGCUACCAUUUUGGUGUUGAUUCGCUCGUGCUCCUGCCACCACCAUGAAGCUCUAGGUGGGUGGUGGUGUAUCUGUUUUGGGUCCUUAUGUGUGUAUUGUUUAUUUCUGCAAUGGAGUGGGUUUCGUGUGGGGUUGUUAAUGGCCGGAAAAUGGAAGAGAUACCCACCAUGGUCGCCAGCCAUGGUGGCUUCCACCAUCUACCGCCACCGGCUACCAUAAGGUGGUGGUGUGUGAUAUUUAUUUAUUAUGUGUGUGUGUGUGUGUUUAUUUUGAGUAUUAUCAUUGUAAUGUGUAAUUUACAAUUGGAAUAAUGAAAGGAAAAAUCAAAACACCAUCGUGAGGUGGUGGCUGCCGCCUCCUGCCGCCACCGGCCGCCGUGUCGGGUGGUGGUGUGCUUUGCCUCGUAGUGUGGAUUCGUUUGGGGUGCUUCAAACCCUAAUGGGCCUAAAGAAGCUCAAAUGGGCCCAAUGAAGCUUAAUGGACUCUAAUGGACCCAAUAAAACCCUAAUGGGCUCAAUAAUAUUUUAGUGGGCUUAAUAGGCCCAAUAAAGCCCUAAUUGAUCUAAAAGCCCAACAAAUUAAUAAAUGGGCUAGUAUUUGGGUUGGAACCCUAAUUAGGGUUUGGAAAACCCUAAUGCCAUCAAAACCCUAAUUUUGGGGAAUUAAUCGAGACACACGAGACUUAUUAAUAACUUGGAAUAUUAAAUAAUAAUCAUUGACAUAAAUUAAUCUAAGCAAUAUUGGACUUAAUGGAUUAAGUCCUUAAUGGGUUAAGUAGGAAACUUAACGCUAAUCAUCAUUUGAUGUGAAACCCUAAUUCUGCUUGGGUUUAUUGUUGGGCCUUUCUAUUGGGCCUUAAUGAUUGGGUUAUUAAAUGGGUUAUCCAAGAUCAAGCAAAUGGUCUAGAGUAAUUUAAUAGGCCUAGGGUAAGGCCCAUGUAAGGGGCUUGGGCCUAAUUUGGAAAAUUGGGCCAUAUAUGGGCCAUAGUUUGGGCCUUAAUGAUUAUCUGAUGUUGGGCCUUAGAAUGAGACCAUGUAUAGGCCUAGGCCCAAUUUGUAAAAUUAGGCCAUGUGUUGGGCUUUGAUUCCAAAUUGACUUUGGGCCUAUGGUUCGGGCCUUGGGCUUGAAUAAGCCAAGCUAGGGGUAUUGUAGUAAUUACCCAAAGAAUGUACUUAUGGUUAUGUAUUGGGACCCAAUUAUUAAUUGGGUGUUAUUUUGGUGUUGACAGUUCGGGAAUCUGUCUGCCAGCAGCUAGGGUCGAGUCUGCGGGACUUUAGCAAGUGUGGGAUUGCGUCUUCGGGACUUCAUCAUUGUGAGGUGAGUUCCCUUCCAGUAGCGGUGGGUCUACGGCCACAAUGUUGGCCCACCGGUAGGAGUUUUAUGUUAGAUGAUUGUCUUUGUGAUAUCAUCUAGGCUUGCUACUACCUGAUAUGUUAUAUGCUGGCAUGGUAUGUUAUAUGUGAUAGUAGUAGAGUUCGGUUGUUAGGAAAGAAGGGUAGGUCAGACACCCCAGAUAUGUCUGACAGUAUGUGAUGAUAUGUUUAAAUGCUGGCAUGAUAUGUUAUAUGUGAUAGUGGUAGUAGGAGGGGAAUAGUCCCUAAGUUCGGUUGUUAGGACCGAAGGGUAGGUCAGACACCCCAGAAUUGCCCGACAGUAUGUAUGCUUUGUAAUUGUGUGGUAUGUGGUAUGAUGGGGGAACUCACUAAGCUUCGUGCUUACCGUUUUCAGUUUUGGUUUCAGGUACUUCGUGUUUAAAGGAAUGGAGUCGGCUUGAUCGCAGCGCAUCACACUAUGUUUUCCGCACAUGAGAUCUUUGGGAUUACACUCUGAUAUGGUUUUAUGAUAAUAUGUUUUGAUUAUUGACACUUUGGUUUGACACGAGAUAUUAUUGUGAAUGUUUUUACACUGAUGGUUUUAUGUAAUAACUUAUUUAAAAAUAAAUGUUUUGGCCUUGAAAAUUGGGAUGUUACAAGUUGGUAUCAGAGCCUUGGUUUGAGGGAUUCGGGCACACUCUCGGGUGUGUCUGAACUCAAACUAAGGACUUGGUAUGAAAAUUUUCAAAAGUAAAAUCAUUUUAUAAGAGAAGUUUGAAAAGAGAAAAGAACUUUGGAAAGAACAAGGUGUGUGAUGCGUGUAAUCAUCCGAGCUCAAGUAAGUCUUCCCCAAGAUAUCCAUACAUGUUAUGAGAUUUUAUGAUAUGAUAUGAUUAUGAGAACUGCAUGCUAUACUAGGGCUAAGGAUCUAGGGAGGAUGCCUUAUAUGCCUAUUGUAUGUGCUUGUAGACUUGCGUGUUAGUACUGAUUAGUCAGUAAUUGGAUAGCCUGUUUAGGUUAUGCCUGAUUGUAUGGGCCUUUGAAUUGCAUGUACAGAUUCCUGAUUAGAGGAUAGAAUGAUUUGAUUGGAAUAUGAUGGUUAGAUUUUUCAUUGUCUGAAUGUUGCUUGCUUUGUGCUUUGUAGGACUCUUAGUAAUGUGAGUUAGCUAUUAAGCGAAUAUGCUAAGUCACAUGUGGCACAGGCUGGAUAAUCUCAGAGUGAUAGAUUUGACUUUAUUGUGCAGCUCUCAUUUGAGUCUAACCGUUAUAAGGAUGAGUCUGUUACUUGAAGGAUUAUAUGAUCUCUGUUGCAUGUGACUAUAUUCAUAAGGUAGCUACUUGACAUUACUGGGAAUCUUUCAACAUCUGAGGAUUGGGUGAGAUGGGGAACCUAGGAAAGCCUAGGAUAUGUUUCAGUGGGUUAGUAGUGAGGCUCAGUGAGACUUGGGUGUACCGGUUGAGGAAGUCACUCGGAGGAUCUGGGAGGAUUGCUGAGGAAAGUAUGGAUAGGUGUGGAAGGUAGUAUUGGGCCUGUACUACUGAAAGCACAAGAUUCAUACUCGAAUCGGUGAGAGUCUUGGAGAAUCUGAGAAGCUUCAGGGAAGAGUUUGUGACCCAGUUUGGGGACAGAGGAUGUUCUAGUUGUUGCAACUUAGCCAUUGGCAAGUUAUUUAGUAAGCGUGGCAGGGUGUCAGACCUUGAAGGAUAUGAUUCCCAUGAAGUUACAGAUGCGAGAUAGAUUUGGAGCACUCUGGAAAGAGAGGGUUGUGCUAUGUGGGUAUAGUAGAGGGUCCCAGGAAGAGACCUAUGACUUCUGAUCGUCGAGUGAAGGGCCAGCAGGGCCAGAGUCAGUGCAACAUGUACAGGAAAGUGCAAAAGGGAGUUUGUUACUCCAAGGGUUUGGGCUACUAUAGGGUAGUGGGGUUGGUCAUGUCAGCUGGAGGUAACUAGGAUUCCUCCAGAUGUUGCGGGUAUGCCAUCUUUUAUUGCUACUAGAUGGAUUUUGGGGAUACGUAUCGCGUUGGAGUUAUGAGUGAGUUGGAUAGGUCAGAUCUCGGGUCGGUUUUCUGCUAGUGUUUGGUUAUCAAGGAUCGUAUAUGCCAUCAUGCAUGCCGAAAAGUCGUUGAUGGACCCACAGAGGGACGCAUCUUGCGGAGUGGGGUCCGCAUGUACCGUUAUCAUUCCAGAUCUUUUUUGGGAUCUGUACAGGAGUAUUGUUUGAAAGAUCCUAGGUCAGGGUUAGAGUGAUAGAUCUCCGGUGAAGUCAGCAUUUAGGGGUUCUAUCAUUGUUCAGGCAUGGUCGGUAACUGUCCAUGGAUGAACUUUGAAGUUCAAGGCACUACCGUUUCUAGGACAGAGCUGGUAACAUGAAAAAGGUAGUGUCAUUCGUGGGUGUUAGAUGCAUAAGUGGUUGGUCAUCGCAUGUUCAGGAGAAUUGUAUUUUCGCAUGGGCCGUGUUCGGUUAGAGUUCAGUGGUGCUGCUAGAUUGGAAAUGAGAAUGAGGAUUCGUCAGCCAGAGUGAAAAUUGAGACCUUCAAUUGACAACAUGUUAGAUGGAUCGAGGUGUCAGACUGGAUCUGAUGUAAAGAGUACUCAUCAAGAUUUCCGAGGAUGUGAGAUCUUAAGGUUUAAUCUGUGAUUAAACGCUAGCAUUGGCAGGCACAGGUUGUCAUCGGAGGGAUAUUCGAUAGCGAGAAGGAUUGGAAAUCCUUCAAUUUUUGCGUGCAGUGAAGACUUAGUCGAGUCUAAGUGGGGGAGAGACUUUUUAUAAAGUUUUCCAAAUGUGAGUUCUGGUUGCGGGGGGUGCAAUCUCUUGGGCACCUUGUCAACCAAAAGGGUAUUCUAGUUGAUCCGGCCAAGAUAGAGGCCGUGAUGUAGUGGGAGAUUCUCGGGUCUCCGUUUGAGAUUUGGAGUUUCCUGGGUCUAGCAGGUUACUACCGGAGAUUUACAUGGGACUUCUCUGAGAUUGUGGUUCCUUUGACCCGACUGACCAAGAAGUCGGUGGCCUUUCAUUGGGGGCUGAGCAGUAGGUAGCCUUCGAGACUCUCAGAUAGCGGUUGUGCGAGGCACCGAUUCUCACCCAGCCAGAGGGUGUAGAUGAUUUCGUGGUUUCUUGUGACGCUUUGAUCACGGGCAUGGGUACGGUACUAAUACAAUGGGGUCACGUGAUAGCAGGUUUCAGGAACCAGGUUAGAUUUCCGGUUAGCACUCAAAUUCAGUUGUGUGUUAAGUCGAGUGCGUGUUCGACCCAGUAUGGAAAGUGUUGUAAGACUACGGGGGUAGUCGUAGCAUUCACUAGCAGUCAGAUAGUUUGGAAAGUGUUGUAAGACUACGGGGGUAGCGGUAGCAUUCACUAGUGAUCAGUUAGUAUUGAGAAUGUUGUAAGACUACAGGGGUAGCCGUAGCAUUCACUAGUGGUCAGUUACCACGGGAAGUGUUGUAAGUCUGCGGGUGUAGCCGUAGCGUUCACAAGCAUUCAAAUAGUAUUAAGUGUUGUAAGUUUGUGGGUGUAGUCGUAGCAUUCACUAGUAGCCUGAUAACGAUGUAGUGUUAUAAGUGUCACACCCCAAAACCGAUAACGGCGGAAUACGUUUCGGGGUGGAUGACGUUAGUGAACAGUAUCAUCAUAAUUGCAUAAUAGUAAAAACAAGGUACAUACAACCAUUUCAUGUACAUAGUGAAUUUAAUUACAAGUGUGUUCUUUAAUGUUUAACAAUCACCCAAAAGUAAAUCAAAAAUAAGAGAUGGGUCUUGUGUGCUCCACCUUCUCCAAAAAUGUUGCGUCUGUACCUGUCUAUCUCUGACCUGAAGAUACAAGUUAUUUUGAAAACGAUUAUCAGCAUAAAGCUGGUGAGUUCAUGAGAAUUUAGUGUGUAUUUUGUAUACAAAGCAUUAGUACGAAAAAUACGUCCCUUUAUUUUCUUAAGCAGUAGAAACUUAGAGAAAAUCCCAUGUUUUUCCAGAAAAUACAAUGUAAGAGACAAUCUGUGAAAAAUAUGCAUUCUUCAUUUCUUUGAAACAGUUUAUUGUAAACGUAUAUUGAGAAAUCCCCAAAUAAUAAUUGUGAUAGCAUAGGUUAAGCUUGUAAUCAGUGAUAGAGGUGCAAGCUUCUUUUAGUAAUAGAUACUUACUUACUUCGGGAUGUAGUUUAGCAUUUAGUGUAGUAUUUUAAAGAAGUUGUAGAGUUUUCUCGGUAUAUUACUAAUAGUGAGGAUAAUAGAGAAUCCCAUGACCUUCCCAGUCAUGCACAAUAUAGUGAAGUAGUGGCAUCCCUGGGCCUGAACGGCGCAGACUGAAAUUAACAGUCGGGAUGUAAUAGCGUCUACCCCGUAUAGAUCUAUACAUGAAGAGUCGUCUCCUUGCUGGAACACUCCGGGCGUAGUGGAUAGCGAAUAGAGGAUCUCGUAGAGGGUUAGUGUAUUAUUGUUUGUUAAGUGUUUUCUCUAUUGUUAUAGUGUAGAAAUCUUUUAGUAUUGAUCAUAGUAUAUUCUCUUACUAGUGUAUCGUCUAGUAAUAGUGAGUAUUAUAGUGUAGAUAGUAAUGACUUUAGCGAGUAGUAGCUGUAGCAACCGUAACCAUACCUAUUAUGGUUAUCUUAGUGGGGAUGGUUCUGGGCGCGUUAGUGACGUUAGCAUUAAGUGAAAGCAGUAACAUUCGUAUCCCAUACUGAUAUACAGAUUAUAUAACUAAGAAAUCAACGACAGUCGGACAGAUAACUACUACCCUAAGCCCACAAUCAAACAAGAACAGGAAAUAAGGCGAGAUAUCGGUCCUAAGUCCUCCACGUCUUACUUAUAUAAAUAUAUCAGAGUGGUUACAUUUUAUAAGUAAAUUGAUUUAAAUAAAAGUAUUUUCCAAAAGAACAUUUAAAAUCUGAUUCACUGUUUAAAAAUAGUUUGAAAAGGGUGAAACCCGUUUAUAAGGCAUAGGGACAAAUCCCAUGUGAUUUGAACUAAGGGUAGUGAAUCACAUGUGAUUAAUCCUUGUAACGCGGAAUUCGUUCUGUAAAACUUUACAUAAACAUUUAUAAGCAACUUGUAUCUCCCCCCUAAAACAUUUAAAACAUUUGAAAGGUUCAUUAAAGGGGUAUGAACUCACCUGAAAUCGCAGAAAUCGGGUGAAUCGGGUAAGUCGGGUAAAAGUGUCGAUUGAGCGUUUGGUACCAAAUAACCACUUGAGCACCUCUGAGGACCCUAAUGUCAUAUGAAAUACGUAUACAAGAAGUUAAUCAUCUUAUGCUUUUCAUUAUAGUAUUUGGACAUUCUAGCAUCGUUUUCGGGGUUUUAAGGCCUAAAAAGGGUUCCCGGGAGUGGUACAAGGCCAUGAAUGAUUUACGGGAGGGUCCAUGAACUCACUCUCUUAGAGUUUAUGGCCUAAAAGGCCUUUCUUUGGGAGUUUAUGGCCGUAAGCCCCCUAGGCUUGGCCGUAAACUCUUGUGACACUCCAAAAUGUAUGAUUAGGGCCUUAUUUCACUUCCUUAAUUUAGUGGUGUGUGUUUUGGACUAAUAGGGAAGGAUUAAACAUCAUAAUUUGUGACAUUUUUGGGGAGUUUACGGCCAAGACUUGUUCUUGGGCCGUAAACUCCAAUAAAUCCUUCAAGUUGUAUGUUUUAAUGGUACAACAUGGUCUCAUACACCUUAGAUAAAUCCUAGAAGGCCCUAUAAUGAGUUUUGGGACAAUUUGGCAUCAAAUUUUGGGGAGUUUACGGCCCAAGAACAUCCUUGGCCGUAAACUCUUCAUUUUGUAUCCAAAUGUGAAGCUUAAUGGCACAACAUCCCUCCAAUGGCCUUAGAUAAAUUCCUUACAUGCCCUUGAGUAGUUUAGGGACUUAUUUGACACAAAUUUUUGGGUGUUUACGGCCCAAGCUUAAGCUAGGCCUUAAAAUCCUCAUUUUUUCCUCAAAUGGAGUUGUUUGAUGCAUUUAAGUGUUCCUUGGAGUCAAGUCCAAUUUAUCAAACACCUUAGAAGAGCUUUUGGGGCUUUAAACAUAGAUUUAUGGGGGUGUUUGAGGUGUUUACGGCCUAAGCACAAGCUUGGGCCGUAAACUCCUUUUUACAUGUCAAAUCCUUGUGUUUUAGUGUCCAAACUCUUCUAGAUAUAUGCCUUAAUUAGUAUACUAGCUUAAAAGAAGGAAAAACUUGAUCUUUGGCAUGGUUUUGGGGGUUUACGGCCUAAGGAGCUUCUUAGGCCGUAAACUCCUUUAUGGUCCUUGAUUCCUAUGAUUUUGGCCCCUAAAUUCAAUGAAGCAUGACUAGAUUAAGAUAGAGGAUGAGUACUUACGUUUGGAAGUCGGAAAUUAGCGGAAUCGGGGCCGAUUUCGAGUCUAGAGAGAGAAAGUAGAGAGAGAAAGUGGGUGUGUGGUAAAAGAGUAUUCAAAUGUUGUGUACACCCAUUUCAUAUGUCUCGGGUAUCGCACCCGAUACACGGCUACCCGAUGUUUAAAGUUAACUGGGUUAAAACUUUUUACCCGGGUGAAGUGGUUGAAAAGGUAAUACAACUCUAUUAGGUUAAACGGGGUUAACACAUACGAGUUAUAUUUCUUAUGAUAAUAUCAAGCCAUGCAUAAAUUUAGAUAUUCGGAUAUUGACGAUUCCAAAUAUUACAUAAAAUAACGUAUAGUGACACGUUCCGUUAGUGAAAAUGGGAUUUGUAACGGGAAUAGAUUUGGGGUUGUCACAUCAUCCCCCCGUUAGGGGAAUUUCGUCCCGAAAUUUAGAAUACAAACAGAUACGAUAUUACAAUACUACUAAGCGAAGAGAUGAGGGUAUUUGAGUUUCAUUUGAUCCUCGCGCUCCCAAGUGAAUUCCGGUCCUCGCUUGGCGUUCCACCGAACCUUCACAAUUGGGAUGCGGCUUUGUUUCGUCCGUUUUACUUCACGAUCCAAAACCUCCGCAGGUUCUUCCACGAAGUUGAGGCUCUCAUUGAUCUCGAUCUCGUCGAGGGGGAUCACGAGAGUCUCGUCAGACAGACAUUUCUUCAAGUUUGAGACGUGGAAGGUAGGAUGUAUGUUACUUAGCUCGCGGGGUAAGUUUAGUUUGUAAGCUACAGGGCCGAUUCUGGCAAGAAUCUCAAAAGGCCCUAUGUACCUUGGGUUUAACUUUCCACGCUUCCCGAAGCGUAUCGUGCCUUUCCAGGGCGAGACCUUCAGAAGGACUCGGUCUCCCACCUGGAAUUCCAAGGGUUUUCUUCGUUUGUCGGCGUAGCGUUUCUGUCGAUCCCUAGCGGCUUUUAGUCGUUCACGUAUCUGCACAAUCUUCUCGGUCGUCUCUCGAAUGAUCUCUAGACCAGUGAGGGCGCUGUCAGGAACUCGUCCUUUAGCUAACUAGGUGUCUCCCACCUCGGCCCAGCACAAAGGGGAUCUGCACUUCCCGCCGUAGAGGGCUUCGAAUGGAGCUGCCUUGAUGCUCGUAUGAUAACUAUUGUUGUAGGAAAACUCCACAAGAGGUAAGUGUGUAUCCCACGAUUUCCCGAAGUCGAUCACACAAGCUCGCAGCAUGUCUUCUAAUGUUUGGAUCGUCCUCUCACUUUGCCCGUCAGUCUGCGGAUGGUAGGCUGUACUCAUGUCCAGCCUCGUCCCUAGUGCCUUUUGUAAUGAUUGCCAAAAUCUAGAGGUGAAUCUACUAUCUCUGUCUGAUAUAAUAGAUAUAGGGACGCCAUGCAAUCGCACUAUUUCUUUUAUAUAAGUCCUAGUGAGCUUUUCCAUCUUAUCCGUCUCUUUGAUGGGUAGAAAGUGGGCAGACUUGGUCAACCGGUCAACGAUGACCCAAAUGGUAUCUAAUCCACCUGCUGUCUUGGGCAGCUUGGUGAUAAAGUCCAUUGUGAUUCGCUCCCACUUCCAUUCUGGUAUUUCCGGUUGUUGGAGGAGUCCUGAUGGCUUUUGACAUUCUACUUUGACCUUCGCGCAAGUAAGACACUUACUUACAAAGGUAGCGAUCUCCGCUUUCAUGUUCGGCCACCAGUAUAGCUUUUUGAGAUCCAGAUACAUCUUAUCUGAACCCGGGUGGACAGAGUAACGAGUGUUGUAUGCUUCUCUCAUAACCAAUUCUCUAAAACCUCCAUGGCGUGGAGUCCAGAUUCGAUCCAUAAAGUUAUAGGCUCCGUCACCCUUAACCUCCAGAUUUUUAUCCAUUCCGCGCAGGGAUUCUCCCGUCACAUUUCUAGGCUUUAAAGCUUCCCGCUGAGCCUCUUUGAUCUGCGUGGAUAGAUGUGAAUGUAUGGUCAUUGUCAACGACUUGGUCCUUCGUCCGGAAUAUUCUUUUCUGCUCAGGGCGUCCGCUACUACGUUGGCCUUUCCCGGAUGAUAUCAAAUUUCAUAGUCGUAAUCGUUAAGUAACUCGACCCAUCGACGCUGUCUCAUGUUGAGUUCUUUUUGGUUUAGAAUAUGUUGGAGGCUUUUAUGAUCAGUGUACACCACGCUCUUCGUCCCAUACAAAUAGUGUCUCCAGAUUUUUAAUGCGAAGACGACCGCUCCUAACUCGAGGUCGUGAGUAGUGUAGUUCACUUCAUGGUUCUUUAGCUGUCUCGAAGCAUAGGCGAUAACCUUGCCUCGUUGCAUCAAGACACAACCGAGCCCCUGAUUGGAUGCAUCACAGUAUACGACGAAAUCUUCUGUCCCUUCGGGAAGGGAUAAUACUGGUGCGGUGCAUAGGGCUCGCUUCAGGGUCUGAAAUGCCUUCUCCUGUUUCUCUUCCCAGUCGAAUGGUACACCCUUCUGUGUUAACGUGGUGAGAGGUUUCGCAAUCCGAGAGAAAUUUUGGAUGAACCGACGGUAGUAGCCAGCGAGGCCUAGAAAUUGACGAAUUUCCGUAGGCGUCUUUGGUGCUGACCAGUUCUCAAUAGCUUUGAUUUUGGAGGGGUCCACGUGGAUUCCGUCUUCACUGACCACGUGCCCUAAGAAUUCAACUCUCCGGAUCCAAAACUCGCACUUAGAGAACUUCGCAUACAACUUCUCGGAUCGCAGGGUUUCCAGGACUAAUCGUAAAUGAUUUCUGUGCUCUUCCUCGCUUCGAGAGUAGACGAGAAUGUCGUCAAUAAAGACGAUGACGAACUGAUCUAGAUAUGGACGACAUACCCUAUUCAUCAAGUCCAUGAAUACUGCGGGGGCGUUAGUCAGUCCAAAGGGCAUCACUACGAACUCGAAAUGCCCGUAGCGGGUUCGGAAAGCUGUCUUUGGAACAUCUUCCUCGAGCACCCGCAACUGAUGGUACCCCGAUCUAAGAUCAAUCUUGGAGAAGUAACUGGCUCCUUGGAGUUGGUCGAAUAGGUCGUCGAUACGAGGGAGAGGAUAGCGAUUUUUGAUCGUGAGUUUAUUGAGUUCCCUAUAAUCGAUGCACAUCCGAAACGACCCAUCCUUUUUCUUCACGAACAAGACCGGAGCUCCCCAAGGUGAGAAGCUCGGUCUUAUGAAGCCCUUGCUGAGAAGUUCGUUGAGUUGACCGGAUAGUUCUUGCAUUUCGGCGGGCGCUAGUCGGUAGGGCGACUUAGCUACGGGGGUAGCUCCUGGGAUUAGGUCGAUUCUGAAUUCAACCUGUCGUUUAGGAGGUAGGCCUGGGAGAUCCUCCGGAAAGACAUCAGGAAAAUCGCAUACUACUGGAAUGUCUUUUGGAUCUUUCGAUUUCUGGUUAGUGUCGACGACGUGAGCAAGAAAGGCGCGAUAUUCCUUGCGCAAGUAUUUCUGAGCCUGAAUACUAGAGAUGAUACGAAGGUUUGUACUUGGCUUAUCUCCGUAUAUCACUAGGGUCUCUCGAUUCGGAAAGUUCAGGCGAAUGGCUUUCUCGGAACAUAGGAUGUCGGCGUAGUGAAGGCUUAGCCAAUCCAUACCAACAAUGACAUCGAAAUUUUUGAUUGAGACUGGUAUAAGAUCGAUUAAAAAGGGGUGAUCAUCUAACGUGAGAGUACAACCUAUAUAGAUUUCAUUAGAGCUUUCUGUCUUCCCAUUAGCCAUUUCUACAACGAAUGUUUCUUUUAGUGGUUGAGGGGUUUGUUUGAGUAAGUGUUUAAAGUUUUGAUUUAUGAAGCUUCUUUCUGCACCACUAUCGAAUAAGACACAGGCAUAAGAGUUGUUGAGAAGAAACGUACCCGUGACCACUGUGGGAUCGGCUACUGCUUCAUUGUGACCGAUAGCAAGUAACCUUCCAGUUCCCCCAGCAUUUGCAGUCUUCGGACAGUUCUUCUUAAAAUGGCCCGCUUCGCCGCAGCCAUAACACGUCGGGGUCACUCCCGUACCAGGAACCUGUGUAAUAGGUUUGGGAGGGGCCUUGCAAAAUCGGACAGUAUGGCCCUUCCGUCCGCAGUUGGAACACUGCAAUUCACGGCAUGGACCGUUGUGGUGAAAAGGGCACUUGGGACACUUAGGCAAAUUCCCACUGUAAGCUUUCGGUGGGGCUGGAGCAGCUGGUGCGGCCGGGAUGGUGGCAGCAUGAACCGCCACAAUUUGCUGAUCCCUGGAGGCGGUUUGAGUUUUCUUGCCUUUCUUCUUAUCCCAUCGUUUCCUCUUUCUAUCAGAUGAUCCGGAAAGUGCAGUGGUUGUUGUUGCUGGAGUGGAGGAGAUUUCGUGGUUGAUCAGACUCUGGGCCAAUUCCUUGGCGCUGUCGAAAGUGGUAGGGCGUGAGGCCAGAACAUUUCCUCGAUACGGGGGCACUAAACCCCAGAUGUAACGUUCAAUCUUCUUGCUUUCAGAGGGGAUCAUGUUGGGACACAUAGCCGCCAAGUCGCAAAACCUGGCCGUAUAAGCCGUUAUGUCGGUCCCCUUCAUCUUGAGGUUCCAGAGUUCUUCCUCAAGCUUCUGAACUUCGCCCCUAGGGCAGUACUCUCCUCUCAUAAGAUCUUUUAGAGUGUCCCAGCCCAUGGCAUUGGCUGUGACCAAGGAGAGUGCGUUGACAUGGCCGUUCCACCAUGACAAAGCCCUGUUAGUGAGGGUAGCAGUAGCGAACUUGAUUUUGCUCUCUUCGGGACAAGAGCACAUCUCGAAUACAGCUUCGGUUCUUUCGAACCAUUGGGACAAUGCCAGAAUUCCUCCGGUACCAUCAAAGAAAGCAGGUUUACAAUUCAUGAAGUCCUUAUAAGUGCAUCCCUGCACUCGUUGGUGGACUUCACCAAAUCUAGAAUUUCCACCGCUCGCAUCACCCGAGUUCAUUUGGGCCAUGGCUGCUGUUACAGCCGCAGUCACAGCCGCUUGGAACAACACCGGAUCGAACUGCGGAGGAGGAGGUGGUGGAGGAGGGGUUUGAGUUUCAGGUCUUCCUCUGCUGGGACGCUUUCGUGGAGGCAUCCUUCACUGGAAGAUCAUAGAAAUGAUAGCAAUAGUAAGAGCCUAUUGCGAAUAUGAAUAGAGUGUUUCAUGGAUUAAAUCAACAUAAUCCAAGAUCAGGGUAAGAGUUAUAGCAAUAGAGAAAUCAUCUGCCAAUAUACUGGUAUUAAUGAUGCAACAGAAGUUCAUGAAAAUUGACCUAGCAGUAGGUCUUACAUCAUACCAUAGAGAAAAUGUUGGCAGUUUAGAGGUUCAACUAGAGUACUUUUAAACUAGGAAUGUUUACAGACAAGAGACCUACGGAACAUAGAGAUAAAAGGCUAGUCCUUUAAACAAAAGAGUGAGGUAACUAGAUGUCUUCUACUGGCGACGGUUGCUUGUUGGGCGAAUCCUCAGAUCCGCUAGUUGACGCAUAACUUCUUGAAGGUGUCGAUCAUGAGUCCUUUGGCGUGCUCGGAGUUCCCUAACUUCAGCUCGGGAUGCAGCCAGCUGAUGCUGCAGAGCCUCGUUGGUCCUCCUUGUCCUGUCCACGGCUUCUUCGAGUUGGCGGAUGCGAACAGUGUUGAGGUUUGAGUUGGCAUCCACUUCUACAACUCGACCAAUAGCAGCUUGACCUUGCUCAACAUUCCUGGCAAUCCUUCGGAUCAUGAUGGGCAGAACCCGAUCUGCUGAUCCUCCUUCGCUUAUGUUGUAGAAACUUCGGUCUCCAUUGUAAGGCAAGGGCUGACCCUGCUCCUCGCUCCAUCGACGCAAGGAUAUUGCCCACAUAGGAGUGGGGCCCUGAAAUGCCGGUCGGGGGUUAGGGUUCGGGGCUUCAGGAGGUUGGUUGUUGACUUCUGGCUCGGAGCUCGAGCUAUCCGAGAAGCCUUCAGCAUGAUGAUCAUCCAAAGGAAUAGGGUGAUCGUCGUCUGACUCCUCUUCGAGCCAUCCUCCAUUGCCCUGGUUCGGAAAGUACGGAUCACCGGGUAGGUGGAAGCCAGCCAUGCUAUCUACGCGAGAAAGGGGGAAAGAAGAUUAAUAGACGUACUAUUCUAAGAUACUUAUAGGAGGAAUCAUUACCAGUUGACCCAAUACUUGCAUAGUGCAUACCGAUUACAUGUAACCGAAGCAAGAUAGUCCUUCGAAUAAACCACCCUAACUUCAGACCCCCAAUCAAACAAGAACAGGGAAUGAAGCAAAGGCUGCAGAUUCUGAGUCUAUAGCGCCCCAAUCACAUGUAAUCGUGGUGUAUCCACUUAGCAACUAUUGUCCUACUAGUAACGACCCUUUUUGUUAACACAUACGUAUAAUCUAGAGAUACAGAAUACUCCUAUAGUAUUCUUAUGUUAGCGUUAUUGUGGUAUUGUUGGUAAGUUUUAGACUUGUUGCAACAUCACAACCGAACUUAGGCACAUGCUAGUCACUCUCAGGAAAACGUAGUUGAUCAGGCUACAUCAUCCUGAAUGUGACUAUAUGUCUCUAAACCCAAUUGCGCUGCCCAACAAUCUUAAUACUUUCGUUUUGUUCUAGGACAAUACUGAUUCCUGUGUUUUAUAGUGAUGUGUGUAUAUAUAUACUUAGUUAGAUCUUUUAGAUACUUAACAGUAUAUAUUCUUGGUCAGAGUGUUUUAGUCCCGAAGUGUUUAUAGUUCGUAUAUCUUUUAUAGGUUGAUAUACUUGAUUCACUAUAAACAAUGCUCUGAUACCAAACUGUCACACCCCAAAACCGAUAACGGCGGAAUACGUUUCGGGGUGGAUGACGUAGUGAACAGUAUCAUCACAAUUGCAUAAUAGUAGAAACAAGAAACAUACAACCAUAGCAUUACAUAGUGAAUUUAAUUACAAGUGUGUUUUGUAAUGUUUAACAAUCACCCAAAAGUAAAUCAAAAAUAAGAGAUGGGUCUUGUGUGCUCCACCUUCUCCAAAAAUGCCGCGUCUGUACCUGUCUAUCUUUGACCUGAAGAUACAAGUUAUUUUGAAAACGAUUAUCAGCAUAAAGCUGGUGAGUUCAUAAGAGUUUAGUGUGAGUUUUUGUAUACAAAGCAUUGGUGCGAAAAAUGUAUCAUUAUUCAUAAGUAGUAGAAACUUAGAAAAAUCCCAUAUUUUUCCAGAAAAUACAUUUUUAGUGACAAUCUGUGAAAAGUAUGCAUUCUUCAUUUCUUUGAAACAGUUUAUUGUAAAGUAUAUUGGCAAAACUCCAAGUAAUAAAUGUGAUAGAAUAGGUUAAGCCUGAAAUCAGUGAUAGAGGUGCAAGCUUCCUUUAGUGAUAGAUACUUACUUACUUCGGGAUGUAGUUUAGCAUUUAGUGUAGUAUUUUAGAGUAGUUGUAGUGUAUUCCUUGUAUAUUACUAAUAGUGAGGAUAAUAGAGGAUCCCAUGACCUUCCCAGUCAUGCACAGUAUAGUGAAGUAGUGGCAUCCCUGGGCCUGCACGGCGCGGACUGAAAUUAACAGUCGGGAUGUAAUAGCGUCUGCCCCGUAUAGAUCUAUACAUGUAGAGUCGUCUCCCUGCUGGAAAACUCCGGGCGUAGUGGAUAGCGAAUAGAGUAUCUCGUAGUGGGUUAGUGUAUUAUUGUUUGUUUAGUGUUUUCUCUAUUGUUAUAGUGUAGUAAUCUUUUAGUAUUGAUCAUAGUGUAUUCUCUUACUAGUGUAUCGUCUAGUAAUAGUGAGUAUUAUAGUGUAGAUAGAAAUGACUUUAGCGAGUAGUAGCUGUAGCAACCGUAACUAUACCUAUUAUAGUUAUCUUAGUGAGGAUGGUUCUUGGCAUGUUAGUGACUUUAGUAUUAAGUGAAAGCAGUAACAUUCGUAUCCCACACUGAUAUACAGAUUAUAUAACUAAGAAAUCAACGACAGUCGGACGGAUAACUACUACCCUAAGCCCACAAUCAAACAAGAACAGGAAAUAAGGCGAGAUAUCGGUCCUAAGUCCUCCAAGUCUUACUUAUAUAAAUAUAUCAGAGUGGUUACAUUUUAUAAGUAAAUUGAUUAAAUAAAAGUAUUUUUCCAAAAGAACAUUUAAAAUCUGACUCACUGUUUAAAAAUAGUUUGAAAAGGGUAAAACCCGUUUAUAAGGCAUAGGGACAAAUCACAUGUGAUUUGAACUAAAGGUAGUGAAUCACAUGUGAUUAAUCCUUGUAACGCGGAAAUCGUUCUGUAAAACUUUACAUAAACAUUUAUAAGCAACUUGUAUCUCCCCCCUAAAACAUUUAAAACAUUUGAAAGGUUCAUUAAAGGGGUAUGAACUCACCUGAAAUCGCGGAAAUCGGGUGAAUCGGGUAAAUCGGGUAAAAGUGUCGAUUGAGCGUUUGGUACCAAAUAACCACUUGAGCACCUUUUAGGACCCUAAUGUCAUAUGAAAUAUGUAUUUUACAAGAAGUUAAUCAUCUUAUGCUUUUCAUUAUAGUAUUUGGACAUUCUAGCAUCGUUUUCGGGGUUUUAAGGCCUAGAGAGGGUUCCCGGGAGUGGUACAAGGCCAUGAAUGGUUUACGGGAGGGUCCAUGAGCUCACUCCCUUGGAGUUUAUGGCCUAAAAGCCACCCUUUGGGAGUUUACGGCCGUAAGCCCCCUAGGCUUGGCCGUAAACUCAUGUGGUACUCCAAGGUGCAUGAUUAAGGCCUUAUUUUACUUCCUUACUUUAAUGGUAUGUGUCUUGGACUAAAAGGGAAGGAUUAAACAUCAUAAUUUGUGACAUUUUUGGGGAGUUUACGGCCAAGACUUGUUCUUGGGCCGUAAACUCCAAUAAAUCCUUCAAGAUGUAUGUUUUAAUGGUACAACAUGGUCUCAUACACCUUAGAUAAAUCCUAGAAGGCCCUAUAAUGAGUUUUGGGACAAUUUGGCAUCAACUUUUGGGGAGUUUACGGCCCAAGAACAUCCUUGGCCGUAAAAUCUUCAUUUUGUAUCCAAAUGUGAAGCUUAAUGGCACAACAUCCAUCCAAUGGCCUUAGAUAAAUUCCUUACAUGCCCUUGAGUAGUUUAGGGACUUAUUUGACACAAAUUUUUGGGUGUUUACGGCCCAAGCUUAAGCUAGGCCUUAAACUCCUCAUUUUGUCCUCAAAUGGAGUUGUUUGAUGCAUUUAAGUGUUCCUUGGAGUCAAGUCCAAUUUAUCAAACACCUUAGAAGAGUUUUUGGGGCUUUAAACAUAGAUUUAUGGGGGUGUUUGAGGUGUUUACGGCCUAAGCACAAGCUUGGGCCGUAAACUCCUUUUUACAUGUCAAAUCCUUGUGUUUUAGUGUCCAAACUCUUCUAGAUAUAUGCCUUUAUUAGUAUACUAGCUUAAAAGAAGGAAAAACUUGAUCUUUGGCAUGGUUUUGGGGGUUUACGGCCUAAGGAGCUUCUUAGGCCGUAAACUCCUUUAUGGUCAUUGAUUCCUAUGAUUUUGGCCCCUAAAUUCAAUGAAGCAUGACUAGAUUAAGAUAGAGGAUGAGUACUUACGUUUGGAAGUCGGAAAUUAGCGGAAUCGGGGCCGAUUUCGAGUCUAGAGAGAGAAAGUAGAGAGAGAAAGUGGGUGUGUGGUAAAAGAGUAUUCAAAUGUUGUGUACACCCAUUUCAUAUGUCUCGGGUAUCGCACCCGAUACACGGCUACCCGAUGUUUAAAGUUAACUGGGUUAAAACUUUUUACCCGGGUGAAGUGGUUGAAAAGUAAUACAACUCUAUUAUGUUAAACGGGGCUAACACAUACGAGUUAUAUUCCUUAUGAUAAUGAUCACGACAUGCGUAUAAUUAGAUAUUCAGUUAUUGACGAUUUCAAGUAUUACAUAAAAUAAUGCAUAGUGACACAUUCCGUUAGUGAAAAUGUGAUUUGUAACGUGAAUAGAUUUGGGGUUGUCACAGUAAGUCUGCAGGUGUAGCCGUAGCAUUCACUAGGUUGGUAGGUAGCAUGAGUGCGUUGUUAGGACGCGAAAGGAGCAAUAGUACACCAAUCCGGGUGCAGCAGUGAGGAUAUGGAAAUCCACGGAUUGGAUUUCGGACUUACCCAAAUGGAUUAGAUCUAGUUAAGCCAGUAAUGAGAUGGUAGGGACAUCACUACAGAUAUGAGAUCAGGGAAGCAAUGGACUGCUUAAGGUCGUUUGUGAUGAAAGACUACCAUUGGUUAGAUAGCAGUCACUUUUAGUUUUGGAUUGGGUGAUGUCGGGAUUCGACGCACAGAACCGAUCGGUUAGGUCAGAAAGUUGUUUGAGCCAUUGUGACAUGAUAACUAGUGGCAACUAGUUCCAGGGAAGUAUUUCGUUCAGAAUUCGUGUGAGGCAACUAAGUGGGGAGUCCUUUGGCUCCGCAUUCGGGCCUGAACCCGACAUUUCAGAUCAUUGGUGAAUAAAUUGAGACCAGGUAGUUCUCGAUGGAUUUUGGGAAGCAACUAUGUAGCAGCAUACUGCUUCAGGCAGUUCAGUGUUCGGGCAGUUUCUGCGUUUGGGCAGUGUUAUUAUUUACGUUUCAGGUUGCAAAUACGUACAAAAUAGCUAGAUGAUUGGAGGAGUGAAAAUUCACUCACAGCAGGAGUAUAUGAACCUUGGUCAGGUACGAGUGAUCUGCAUAGAUAAUUAGGUCUGUGACCCUGUUGAUAGUGGGAACCUUGAGCUAUCAGGGGCUGAGUAGCCUGUUGAGGGACAAACGGGCAGGACUGAACGAUGAUAAUUCAGUAUGAGUAGUCUGACGAGGAUUCGAGACCAUCUCGAGAUAGCAGAUUACAAACGGAUUAGGGGUGAUCUUGUUGCAAGGAAUUCUUUCCUUUGCGGAUUUUAGAGCUUUGUAAAGGUGGUCACAACUACCCCUGGAAGGCAAGGGUGUGACUAGGACGGUGACGAUGUCAUUGGAGUGGUUGGGUGUGUAAGGAAUGGUAAGGUGUGAUUUUGAGGACGAAAUCUAAUUUAAGUGGGGGAGAGUUGUAACACCCUAUUUAUUUAUUAAAUAAAUAAAUAAAUUUAUGAAGAUAUAGUUGCCCUAAAAUCAAUAAUUUUGUAGCGGGGUGUUGGUUACAAGGAGCUAUUUGUCAUAAUUUGGAAGUUGAGGGUUAAAAGUGUAAGCUCUGGACCCCGUUUGUAAAUAUUUAUGAACGCAGGGACUCUGUGGUAUUUAUUUGGAAUUAUUUUAAAAUGAAAUGAUGUGGAAGGGCUGAAUAUGUAAUAACUAAGAUAUUGUGUGCUGUCUGGUAACUUUUAUACCUAAGAUGUAAAGGAUUUAAUGGGAAGGGUUUAAAUGGUAAUUAUCGGAUUUAAUUUGAAGAAGAUUUCCAAAGUCAAGGUAGAAAGGGUAAAAUUCGGAUUACAUUUGAUAAGAUCUUAUAGGGAGGGACUAGAAUGGUUUAAAGGGCAAAGUUAAAUAUGAACACAGGACAACUCCCAUCACCCUUGCUUAUGCCGAGUAUAUAAGAAUCAUAGACUCAUGUUUCAAACCCUAAACCUAAUAGUUGAAGACAGCCACCAUCGCCGGAGUUCUCCAACCGCAACCAUCCUCGUUCUUCAUCUCCGAUGCUGUUACCACCUGACCCCUCCUCUCUCUUUCUCCGAUAUGGUGAGGUUUUGGACGACAGCCGACGUCCAUGCUGCUGUCUGGAGUUGUUGCUACUUCAGUCGCCGUCGGGGGCUAGUGCGACGCCUCCUUCUUCUGUCGCCGUAGCUCCAAGCGAUUCGGCGUUCCGGUUACUCUCCAACCGCCGGAUGCCACCAUAUGGGGUGGUUGGGUUCACUUCUAGCAAGUUAGGUGUGUUGUUGCCACCUUUCCGUGUCAACCACCGCCGCCCCAAGAGACUGAAGGGUUGCCGCCGGUAUUCCCAAUUGUUGAAGGCGAAGCCGCCGCCUAUGCUGGCUACCAGUUUGGUGUUGAUUCGCUCGUGCUCCUGCCACCACUGUGAACCUCUAAGUGGGUGGUGGUGUAUCUAUUUCGGGCCCUUGUGUGUGUAUUGUUUAUUGCUGCAAUGGAGUGGGUGUCGUGUGGGGUUGUUGAUGGCCGGAAAAUGGAAGAGAUACCCACCAUGGUUACCAGCCAUGGUGGCUGCCACCAUCUGCCAUCGCUGACUACCAUAAGGUGGUGGUGUGUGAUAUUUGUUUAGUAUGUGUGUUUGUUUAUUUUGAGUAUUAUCAUUGUAAUGUGUAAUUACAAUUGGAAUAAUGAAAGGAAAAAAUCAAAACACCACCGUGAGGUGGUGGUUGCCGCCUCCUGCCACCACCGGCCGCUGUGUCGGGUGACGGUGUGCUUUGCCUCGUAGUGUUGAUUUGUUUGGGGUGCUUGAAACCAUAAUGGCCCCAAAGAAGCUCAAAUGGGACGAAUGAAGCUUAAUGGACUCUAAUGGACCCAAUAAAACCCUAAUGGGCUCAAUAAUAUUUUAGUGGGCUUAAUAGGCCCAAUAAAGCCCUAAUUGAUCUAAAAGCCCAACAAAUUAAUAAAUGGGCUAGUAAUUGGGUUGGAACCCUAAUUAGUGUUUGGAAAACCCUAAUGCCAUCAAAACCCUAAUUUUGGCGACUUAAUCGAGAUACACGAGACUUAUUAAUAACUUGGAAUAUUCAAUAAUAAUCAUUGGCAGAAAUUAAGCAAUAUUGGACUUAAUGGAUUAAGUCCUUAAUGGGUUAAGUAGGAAACUUAACCCUAAUCAUCAUUUUAUUUGAAACCCUAUUUUUCUUGGGUUUAUUGUUGGGCAUUUCUAUUGGGCUUUGAUGAUUAGGUUAUUAAAUGGGCUAUCCAAGAUCAAGCAAAUGGUUUAGAGUAAUUUAAUGGGCCUAGGGUAAGGCCCUUGUAAAGGGCUUGGGCCCAAUUUGGAAAAUUGGGCCAUAGAUGGGCCAUAGUUUGGGCCUUAAUGAUUAUAUGAUGUUGGGCCUUAGAAUGAGACCAUGUAUAGGCCUAGGCCCAAUUAGGAAAAUUGGGCCAUGUGUUGGGCUUUGAUUCCUAAUUGACUUUGGGUCUAUGGUUUGGGCCUUGGGCUUGAAUAAGCCAAGCUAGGGGUAAUGUAGUAAUUACCCAAAGAAUGUACUUAUGGUUAUGUAUUGGGACCCAAUUAUUAAUUGGUUGUUAUUUUGGUGUUGACAGUUCGGGAAUCUGUCUGCCAGCAGCUGGGUCGAGUCUGCGGGACUUCAGCAAGUGUGGGAUUGUGUCCUCGGGACUUCAGCAGUGUGAGGUGAGUUACCUUACAAUAGCUGUGGGUGUACGGCCACAAUGUCGGCCCACCAGUAGGAGUUGUAUGUUACAUGAUUGUCUUUGUGAUAUCAUCUAGGUUUGCUACUACAUGAUAUGUUGUAUGCUAGCAUGAUAUGUUAUAUGCGAUAGUAGUAGAGUUCGGUUGUUAGGACCGAAGGGUAGGUCAGACACCCCAAAUAUGUCUGACAGUAUGUGAUGAUAUGUUUAAAUGAUGGCAUGAUAUGUUAUAUGUGAUAGUGGUAGUAGGAGGGGAAUUGUCCCUAAGUUCGGUUGUUAGGACCGAAGGGUAGUUCGGACACCCCAAGUAUGUCUGAUAGUAUGUUUAUGUUAUAAUAUAUGUGAUAGUAGCAGUAGGCAGUGGAAUAGUCCCCGAGGGUCGGUUUUUAGGACCGACGGGUAGGUCAGCACCCCAAAAUGGCUUGACACCGGUAGGUCGGCACCCCAUAAUGGCCGUACCGGGUAGGUCGGGCACCCCAGAAUUGCCCGACAGUAUGUAUGCUUUGUGAUUGUGUGGUAUGUGGUAUGAUGGGGAACUCACUAAGCUUCUUGUUUACGGUUUUCAGUUUUGGUUUCAGGUACUUCGUGUUUAAAGGAAAGGAGUCGGAUUGAUCGCAGCGCAUCACACUAUGUUUUCCACACAUGAGAUCUUUGGGAUUACACUCUGAUAUGUUUUUAUGAAAAUACGUUUUGAUUAUUGACACUUUGGUUUGACACGAGAAAUUAUUAUGAAUGUUUUUACAAUGAUGCUUUUAUGUAAUAACUUAUUUAAAAAUGAAAUUCUUGGCCCUGAAAAUUGGGAUGUUACAUCAAUUGUUACAUAUGUUGUUUGAAAGUUCCCAGAAUGUCCUCUUUCAGAUGAGGAAGUCAGAGGUUGGUUGUGAAGAGCUUUUGGAUUCUUUUAGAAAUGGUGUGGUAAAUAUAAAAAAAUGCAUCCUUUUUUCGUUCUGUUUUUUACUUCAUGUACACAAUACAAGAUGAUGUUUAUAACCAUGACGUCUUAAAAUUUGAUGUUUUUUGUAGGUAAACAAUCCUAAAAAUGAAAUUGGUUCGACUCGUGAGAUGAGAAAAAAAAACCUAUUAAUUUUAUACACAACAUCACAAAGUAGAAUGCUAUAAUUGAGUUUUUAAUUUACAAUGUCCUAAUAAGAAAAAAAAAACAUCAUCAUGCGAAGCCCAUGAUCAAUUACUAGUUAUACAAUUAUUUAAACUUAAAAAGUUAAAUAUAUGCCAACCCCGUUUUUUUCUUAAAUACUAAAUAUAAUAUAUCAAUCUAUUGUGUUUUAGUUUAUCAUGGGUUAGUAAAAAAGUAUUUUGUAAAUUUAUUUUAAUAACAUUUAAGUUAAUAAAUUUGUUAAGUAAUAAGAAUUUAUGUAAAUAACCUUAUAUAUUUUGCUAUAAAUAAACAACCCAACGUAAGAAUACCAUAGAGCUUGUUUUAGAAUAACACGUGCUUAUUAUCUAUUACUGCACAUACAAGCAUGGAUUACCUUUUCAGUUACCUGGGACAUACCGCAAAUUUACAAUUCCAAUAUUCUAAGUUUAUAAUGAUUUAAUUUAUAUAAAGCAAUAAUAGAAAGAUAAAAUUGUGAUUGAAAAAAAAACAAAAUCAUGCAUUCUAUGUCCAUAAAAGAACAACCUAAACUGGUCCGGUUUUUGGUUAAGGUAAACCAAGAAUUUCGAAUUUUGAGUUUUCGGUCUAAUUAGUUCAUCAGGUUGUCUGCGUUAGGGCUAUUGCUCUUUCUUAUCUUUAUCAUGAAUCUGUCUUUAGAAUGGUACUAAUUUAGUCCAUGUAAUUUAAUUUAUAUUUUUAGACAAAUUUUUAACAGUAAAGUGGUUGCUCUAAACUGACUUAAAGACUUAUAUAUAAUGGAGUUAGAUAAAAAGUCCACAUGGUUAAGAAAAUGAAAACGUUUUGGAUGUAUUCAAUAUAAAUCUUAGGAGUUUCUAGCUUCUAGGUUUCAAGAAAAUGCUCGUAAAAAAAGAUUUCUUCGGGCAACAGGAGCAUUUAACUUUUAGUCAAUACAAAACGCUACAAAAUAAAAAGCUACAGGGAGAAGCUUUUAACAAAACGCUUCAAAAUUAAACGCUACCAGCUACUCGCUACCCAUUAUCCACUACUUUUACCAAACACGCCCUUUGAUUAAAAGUAUCAAAUUGUAAAAGCAUGGACUACAACUCUACAAGUACCGUUGGAGAUUACGUCGAAAAAUCCAAUUUUCUCUAAAGUAUAGGUUAAUAUGUAGCAUUUUUUUCUUAGGGUAAAAACAUCAUCGUAAAAAAUAUAACAUAAUUAGUUUUAACUACAAAGCUUUUAUCUUCAAAAUUUGGCCACCCUUUGUGUGUAUAUAUUGUAAGCACUCAAACUUCAUUUCACUCCACACAUGAACAUCCUUCCAAUGUCUAUCCCUGAUGUUUCACUGGCAUCUAAACCUAACUCUUUUAAAGUUAUGUUACUUUUUCGUUUAACAAAACUCCAUUUUAAAGUACAAUCAUAACUUGGUAGUAAAAUGAGUCUUUUCAAUAACAGUUCAAAUGAAAUACUAGUAAACUAUAAGGAGUAUAGUUUAGAGGUUCCGUUCAUACUAGAUGAAAUACACGAUAACAUACAGAGAACACACAAUAAAGAGAAACAGGGAGCUAGAUACAAUACACGAUAACAGAAAGAACAUACUAAGAUACUAUAACAGAAUGAACAUACUAAUAUGCCAUAGCAUGGAACACUUACAAGAUCUAACUAUACCAAUAAUCACUAACACAUUGUUCUAAACAAAAGGUCAUAACUUAUUGGGUAUACAUGAACAUAUAAUUUUAAUGUGGAUUACAUGGCUAGCAACUGGUUUGCUAAGGUCGCGUUUGGUUCCCAUAAUCUUUUGACAGGGAGAGCGUAUAGUAUGGGAACUAGCCUUCACAUUAUGACCUUAAUAAAACAAACAUGUUUUAAGGUAUUUAGUAUGUCAGAAUGUCAAUUUAUAAGAUAACUAACUACUUAUAUUUUUCCGUUACUUUCAUAAAGUGACAGUUCCACUUGAAAGUUAAUACAAACUAUUUUCGAGUCAAGAUAGUUAUAAACUAGGGAAAAACUUACAUCUUUUCAAAUGAUAAACAGAACAGUCGGGUCUAGUACAUUCAGUAGAAAGGGACCAUAAUGCUCUUGGAUUAAUGUCUAAGUCCAUAACUAUAUUUGGUAUUUACUUGACCCGACCCGACAUGGUCCAUUUGGGUUGCACUUCACCGGCACAAUUUAUAUGGAUAGUCUUUUGACAGUAGUAUAUUUAUGAUUUAUAUUAAUAUAUUAUAAUUUCUAAUAUAUUAAUAUAUAAUCAUAUUAUUUAAUUAGUAUUGAUCAAGAGUUAAUUUAUAAUUAAUUAAGUGAUCAAAAUGAACUAAUUAAAUAUGGACUCUUAUAUAUAUGGAAUGGGCCAAGUUCAUUUAGGUUGGGCUAAGUUUUCAUGGAUAGUCCAUGGAGUGUUUAACCCAUGGAUCAUAUAAAAUGAAAGGNACUUAGAGAGAACCAAGUAUUCAUAUUCUCUAAAGUCUUCCAAGGUGUCUUGGUGAUUUGUGAUUCCACUUGAGGCUUCCACACUAUUGGGGCUAAGCUCUUAAAGCUUGAAGACAUCAAGCUACAUCAAAAGGUAUGUCUUCUAACUAGUACUUUGUAGAUUAAGAACAUCAUAAUAUGCUAGUUAGGAUUAAAGCCUUGGAAAGUUCUUAUUUGCAUGUAUAAUAGAGAAAACAUAGAUCCAAGGUUUAUAGGGUUGCAUGUACACCAUAGGACUGUUAGAAUGCUCAAAACCCAACAGUGGUAUCAGAGCCCAUGCUUGUUUUCUUGUUAUCCUUGCAAAAAUGCUUAAAAAUCGAAGUUUUUUGUUGUCUGGGCAUCAGACUCGGCAAGUCCAUCAGGAGACUCGGUGAGUCCAUGCCUUAAAAUUGAUCAAAACGAUCUAACUCGCCGAGUCGAUUCAUGCACUCGACGAGUUGGACCCCCAGACAGCAUAAAUUUGACUGUUUUGGCUGGAAUUGGACUAGGAACAUUACCCUAAGAUGUUUUUGGACUUAUAAACUUGUUUUUGAUGUGGUAAUGUUCAUGCUAAUCCAAUUUCAAAGAUAAUUGUCAAUAGAUUCAUGUUUUGUAUUAGUUUAAGGUUUAGACUAAUUACAUGAAAAAGUUUGAUUUGAAUUAUCUUGUUCUUAUGAGUUGCUUAGAUUAAUAGAAAAGUUGAGUGAAAUAGUUGUUUUCAAUCCAAAUUAAUCUAAGAGUUGAUUCUAAAAUGUGUUUUUGUAACUUGUCCUCAAGUUAUAUGAAAAGUCACAUUUAAGUUUCAUAAAACUCAUAAAAGUUGGCAAUGGUUACAAAAUAUGAAGAGUCUUGUCCUUAAGUUAUGGAGGUUCAAGAGUCACUUCAUUAAGUAAUAAAAUAUGUAACCUUAAUUAAUUCCAUAAGUUACAAAAUAAAGAAAANNNNNNNNNNNNNNNNNNNNNNNNNNNNNNNNNNNNNNNNNNNNNNNNNNNNNNNNNNNNNNNNNNNNNNNNNNNNNNNNNNNNNNNNNNNNNNNNNNNNNNNNNNNNNNNNNNNNNNNNNNNNNNNNNNNNNNNNNNNNNNNNNNNNNNNNNNNNNNNNNNNNNNNNNNNNNNNNNNNNNNNNNNNNNNNNNNNNNNNNNNNNNNNNNNNNNNNNNNNNNNNNNNNNNNNNNNNNNNNNNNNNNNNNNCUUUAAUUAAAACUCAUAAGUUAUGAAAAUCCAAGAGUUUUGAAUAGUUUCAAAACUUGCCCUCAAGUUUUGGAAUUUAAAAAGUUUUCUUUUAUGAAUACUUUAAUUCCAAGUUAAGCCCUUAGAAUUUUAAAGAGUUAAAAUUCAACCCUUAUACUUUAUAAUAUUAUAAGUUAAUAAUAUUUAUAUAUAUGUAUAAGAGUAAAGUCAGUCUUACCGUUAGUAGGCCUCAUUCACGAAGCCGGUCUAUAAGGGGGGUAUAAGGUUACUGCCUAUAAAAUGGCAGUUUAAUGGGUGUCCACUCUCACCCACCGCUUCCUUGACCGGUGGAGGGUCGUUAGCCGAACGGGUAGGACAAGGACUAUAAUUCUCCCUUCAUUAAAAGUAUUAAUGAUAAAUACUAAGUAACUAAACCUUUUAUAAAUACCCAAUCUUAGUUACUUAGGAAAAUGUGAAUAAGGUGCUAAUCCAUGAAAUUACACUUUGCAGUUUGUUUAAGUCGGUUAGUGGAGCGUGUGUGGUUAACUGGCACACUAACUCGUAUUUAACAAGGUAGGCAAAGGGUAACUUAAUGUUUGUCAUAGUAUCGAUGGUGCGUGUGUGGCUAACCAUCACAUCGAUUGAGGGGUAAACACUUAAGGGUAACAAGUAAUUUCCAUGGUUACUUCACACCUUGUUUUGUGAUCCUCGGCAUCCCAGUCACAAAACCUGAAGGGCACACUCGAGAUUGAAACAUGCCAUUGAAAGUUCAAUGAAUCUCAAAGAUCUAGGAGUUUCAAAUCCAAUUAAAACCUAAUAAAUUAUUUCGUUUUUCAUGGUGGAAAUUGGUGAAUCGUCAUUCACCUACCUUCAAAUAUUCUAUAGCUUGGAUUACGGCAUCCCUCUUCCAAGUUAUAAAAUAGUUUGUUGGGUCCUAGCCUUAAUAUUUCAUAUUGGGUGUUAUAUUAAGGACUUUAAAUCAACUAUCUUGAAUAUCUCCCAAAAGAUGUCUAGUUCAGACAUCUAUGAUCUUCCCAAAUAUCUUGGAACUUCACUUCCUCCACCUCCUCCAAUUAUUCUCCCUAACCCACAAGUUCAAGGUCACUCAAGCCCUAUUGGCAAGGCAAGGUCUAGGUGUGAUCACAUCUUGGAGAUGAAGUCACAUACUGACAAGCCGGGAGAGUUGGGUGUCAAAGUCUUGAGAAAGUUAGUGGUUCAAUCACUUUCUAAGUCACAUAGUGAGUUCCUUUGGGACUCCUAUGAAAUAGACUAUGACAAGACCCUUAAUGAUCUUAUCUAUUUGCUUGGUUCUGCUAAAUCAGAAAUGAUUUAGUGUACUAGUAAAGCAAAUUUGAUUAGGAGAUCAACUUCCCAAAACUUUAUGGACAAGGACAAUAGUGACACAGGAAAUCCAGAAAUGCAUUCUCUUCCCAAUGGAAAGGGAUUGGCCAUAGUCAACUUGGUUGACCAAAUGGUAAAGAGAAAGGCUAAGUCUGAGAUAGUCCCAUGUACUAUUACCUAAGGGUCCAUAUGUUUCUAUUGCCAAAGGAAGGGGCUUUGGUUACGAAGCUGCCAAACUUACCUAAGGAUGGUAAAGUCAAUAAGUUUGACUUUAUUUCAGGUAAAGUCCAUUGUCUAACUCUAUUAAGUUCCUACUUGGAGAUUCUUAUUACAUGAUGUGGCUGGGGCACAUGUUGAUGUUUUAAGAAUCAAAGAAAAGUAAAGAAACUUAAAGGAAGUAUAUGCUGAUUCUGAUCGCGAAGAUGGAUUUCAAUCGCAUAGUUCGGUGAUCAGAAUUUUGAGCAGGUGCUUAAGAGUUAUGAUAGAUUGCUUAAGAAUAGAUGACAACAAGUUUUCAUAUACAUUUGCAUUGUAAGGAUUAGUUUUUCCGCAAAGUUUUAAAAUAAAAGAAAAGUUUUAAAUUUUAUUUAUUUUAAAAUAUCCUUACAAUGGCAUUUGGGAAAAAAAUGUUGCUUAUAUGAUUCCAUUGAUAGCCAUAUUGGAAACAUGAAUUUGAUCCUUUCAUUUGUGGUAGUGUCUAAAUUUACCAAAUAAGGAAAGGUUCUCAUCACCCAAGUUUCAGAUGGAUAGAAACGUGGAAUCAUGCAAAUUGUAUUGUAUGAUGAAUGAGAACUUUCGAGCAUUGGAAAAUUAAGACUAACUGCUUGUUCACAUGGAUGUGUGAGUCAAGAGAAGGAGUAAGGGAUCAAGUACACUUUCUUGUGAACUUGUCAAAGUCCACCACAAAAGAUGGAUAAGACUAUUCGUCAUGAUUUACUAAGGUUUAGUAAAUAUGAUUAUACUUACAAGCUUAAGUAUAAUUCUGAAGCAUUGNNNNNNNNNNNNNAACGAAUAAGAAGAAACAAAUUAGGCAGAAGGAUAAAAGUUUCUCAAAUCUGAAAAGAUAGGAGAGUCCUUUUAGUAUCAUAUUUUAAGAUCAUCUUAAUGAUUUUGAGACCUUAUCACAACUCAUCAUCUAAGUACAUUCUGAUAGUUUAGAAGAGGAGUUAUGAAUAGUUGAAGUGGUUAAAUCAAGAAGAUGAUUCAUACUUCCUUCUAAAACAAUUCAUAGAGUUAUACUCUAAGAUUGUAACUUGAGUGAAAUGUCUUAAAGAAGGUUUAAAAUAAUUGUCAAAUGUAAGAGUAAAUGUUUUCUACUCUUGUACAUUUGAAAUUGGUAAGUUGUGAUGUUUUGGAUAAAACAAAGACCAACUAUGGCUAAUUGUGUUAAGUGUUUGUCUUGAUUAGAAUCCACAAUAUCUCUUGAAUAUCUGACAAGAAAGUUUUAUAUGUCAAGAGGACAGUGGGAGUCUUAAAGGUCUUGAAAGUCUCAAGAACUAAUCAAGAAUAAAACUUGAAGUUCUUCACUAGCACACGACUUGAUGUUUAUAACCUAUCGUGUUGACAUAUUUUGUGCCCAUGCCAAUUAAAUUUGGCUUUGCAUAUGAGGUCUUAGAGUUCUCAAUUGGUUGCAUAACAACUUGGAAGCAAUGGCAGGCCCUUGAGCUUCCAGAUGGUAAGAAAUUAAGAUAGAGUUCAGUCCAUAUGAGUUUGGAUUGGUCAUUACCCUUGUCUUGUGACUAUGGUUUUGACAACUCACGUGGAUAAGAACACUUACACCAUAAAAUCUAAGUGUCAUAAGGUUUCUCUUCGAUUCAUGAAAAUGAUGGUAAGGAAACUCUUUCACUAAGUAGAUUUUGAGUAGAUAGCAAUUGUGGGAAUGACAAAAGGUCUAAACAUUAUGAUUACGACAUCCCUUUUCAUAAUUGUUUAGAAACACCUGUGAGCUAUCUAAGGCAAGGUGUAUGUUUUUUAUAAAGUCUUAUCAAGGCAAUCUAGUAUCAGAAAUUUGAACUUUGGUAAGAAAGUCAAUAAAGUAUUGAUUUCUAGAAGUCCAGUUGUUUUCUGGGUACAUGUCAAAGCUAGUGGGAGCAUAAGUGUUAUGCUAUUAAUCAUCAUGUUAGUGGGAGCAUUAUAAUUAUGAUAAAGGUUGCAAGUUAGUAAUGUUAAUUAUAGAAAAACAAAAGUUCCAUUGGGAAAAGUUGUUUUGCUAUAAUUAAGGGAGCGAAAAUUAUACUUCAUUUCAAGUCUAAAAGCUUAGAUUGAGGUUUUAAUCAAAUUUAGUCAAGGAUAUAUAUAUAUAUAUAUAUAUGAAUGUUAUGUUGAAAAGAUUUGAGAUANNNNNNNNNNNNNNNNNNNNNNNNNNNNNNNNNNNNNNNNNNNNNNNNNNNNNNNNNNNNNNNNNNNNNNNNNNNNNNNNNNNNNNNNNNNNNNNNNNNNNNNNNNNNNNNNNNNNNNNNNNNNNNNNNNNNNNNNNNNNNNNNNNNNNNNNNNNNNNNNNNNNNNNNNNNNNNNNNNNNNNNNNNNNNNNNNNNNNNNNNNNNNNNNNNNNNNNNNNNNNNNNNNNNNNNNNNNNNNNNNNNNNNNNNNNNNNNNNNNNNNNNNNNNNNNNNNNNNNNNNNNNNNNNNNNNNNNNNNNNNNNNNNNNNNNNNNNNNNNNNNNNNNNNNNNNNNNNNNNNNNNNNNNNNNNNNNNNNNNNNNNNNNNNNNNNNNNNNNNNNNNNNNNNNNNNNNNNNNNNNNNNNNNNNNNNNNNNNNNNNNNNNNNNNNNNNNNNNNNNNNNNNNNNNNNNNNNNNNNNNNNNNNNNNNNNNNNNNNNNNNNNNNNNNNNNNNNNNNNNNNNNNNNNNNNNNNNNNNNNNNNNNNNNNNNNNNNNNNNNNNNNNNNNNNNNNNNNNNNNNNNNNNNNNNNNNNNNNNNNNNNNNNNNNNNNNNNNNNNNNNNNNNNNNNNNNNNNNNNNNNNNNNNNNNNNNNNNNNNNNNNNNNNNNNNNNNNNNNNNNNNNNNNNNNNNNNNNNNNNNNNNNNNNNNNNNNNNNNNNNNNNNNNNNNNNNNNNNNNNNNNNNNNNNNNNNNNNNNNNNNNNNNNNNNNNNNNNNNNNNNNNNNNNNNNNNNNNNNNNNNNNNNNNNNNNNNNNNNNNNNNNNNNNNNNNNNNNNNNNNNNNNNNNNNNNNNNNNNNNNNNNNNNNNNNNNNNNNNNNNNNNNNNNNNNNNNNNNNNNNNNNNNNNNNNNNNNNNNNGUACAUUGAUUGCACGAAAACGCAUUUGGUAACUCGGUGCUAUAAAACGUGCCUUUGUGUAUGAUUCAACAAGUAGUAGAACAAGCCAUAUGAGUCGAAGUUUAUCCAUUCCUUUUACCUUCGGGAUAAAAGCGAUAUCUGUGGGCCCCUCGAUGAUUUGAUGAUGACAAAUGGAAGUGCUCGGCCGGGCCAGGACUGAUUUGAUUUGUUCAAUUAGUCAGUCGUCAUAAAUCGGAAAUCGGGAAACAACAAAUGGACAGAGAGAAUGAUUAUAAUCCAUGUCUCAGUCCAUAUGAUAUCUAGAAUGGAGGAAUAUAUGAUCCCUUAUCUAAUGGACAAGUUCGUUGACAAGAUCAGAGUUCGACAGCAGCUUUAGAGCUACGAUUGCCAGUUAGGUUUUGAAGUCAUACGCAAUAAUAGUUUUAGACUUAUCCAAGUGGGAGACUGUUGGAUUAAUGUCUAAGUCCAUAACUAUAUUUGGUAUGUACUUGACCCGACCCGGCAUGGUCCAUUUGGGUUGCACUUCACCGGCACAAUUUAUAUGGAUAGUCUUUUGAGAAUAGUAUAUUUAUGAUUUAUGUUAAUAUAUUAUAAGUUCUAAUAUAUUAAUAUAUAAUCAUAUUAUUUAAUUAGUAUUAAUCAAGAAUUAGUUUAUAAUUAAUUAAGUGAUCAAAAUGAACUAAUUAAAUAUAGACUGUUAUAUAUAUGGAAUGCGUCAAGUUCAUUUAGGUUGGGCUAAGCUUUCAUGGAGUGUUUAACCCGUGGAUCAUAUAAAAUGAAAGGUCAUGGGUUUAACCCUAGUCUCCAUACUAUAUAAAGAUGUCCUUGGUUGGUGAAAUUGGCACUAGUGUGGUUACACUAAGAGGGCUAGCCGAUUUCACUAGAGAGAACCAAGUAUCCAUAUUCUCUAAAGUCUUCCAAGGUGUCUUGGUGAUUUGUGAUUCCACUUGAGGCUUCCACACUAUUGGGGCUAAGCUCUUAAAGCUUGAAGACAUCAAGCUACAUCAAAAGGUAUGUCAUCUAACUAGUACUUUGUAGUAUAAGAGCUUCAGAAUAUGCUAGUUAGGAUUAAAACCUUGGAAAGUUCUUAUUUGCAUGUAUAAUAGAGAAAACAUAGAUCCAAGGUUUAUAAGGUUUGGCUGUACACAAUAUGGCUGUUAGAAUGCUAGAAACCCAACAAAUGCUAACCUUAUGAUUCCUUAUUGUAUACAUCAAGAGAUAUAUAUAUUAAUAAUAUUCGAUAUCUAAUAGGAUAUGUGCUUUGUGCUUCAUUUCAUGUUCCUUGUUUGGUUGUGGGCAUAGAGCGGAUUCACCCAGCCUAUUUUCCAUUUGAUUUCAGUAAUAUAUAUGUUUCGUAUACAUUAAGUCAUCAUAAGGGGUACCAGGUAUGGGUCAGGUAAUAGGACACAAAUUCAAUGCACAAUUUUCUAGUACAAAACAUACUUUUCAAAUAAAACAUUUUGUAGACAAAAAUAGAAACUUACCAGUAAAGGGUUUAAUCCAUUUUAUUAAACCAAUAUAACUUAAAGGACCGUAGGUGAUUAACUCUAUNGAAUCACUUCAAGGAUUUUAUCACGAGUGAUCAUGAGACGAUAAUAUCUUAUAUUCUUCAAACCUAGAGAUAUGAGUUGUUACUAUGAGUUGGUUGUACAUUGAUUGCAAGAAAAUGCAUUCAGUAACUCGGUGUUAUAAAACGUGCCUUUCUGUAUGAUUCAACAAGUAGUAGAACAAGUCAUACGAGUCGAAGUGUAUCCAUUCCUUUUACCUUUGGUAUAAAAGAGAUAUCUAUGGGCCCCUCGAUGAUUUAAUUGCGACACAUGUGAGUGCUUGGCCAAGCCAGGACUGAUUUGAUUUGUUCAAUCAGUCAGUUGUCAUGAAUCGGAAAUCGGGAAACAACAAAUGGAUAGGGAGAAUGAUUAUAAUCCAUGUCUCAGUCCAUAUGAUAUCUAGAAUGGAGGAAUAUAUGAUCNNNNNNNNNNNNNNNNNNNNNNNNNNNNNNNNNNNNNNNNNNNNNNNNNNNNNNNNNNNNNNNNNNNNNNNNNNNNNNNNNNNNNNNNNNNNNNNNNNNNNNNNNNNNNNNNNNNNNNNNNNNNNNNNNNNNNNNNNNNNNNNNNNNNNNNNNNNNNNNNNNNNNNNNNNNNNNNNNNNNNNNNNNNNNNNNNNNNNNNNNNNNNNNNNNNNNNNNNNNNNNNNNNNNNNNNNNNNNNNNNNNNNNNNNNNNNNNNNNNNNNNNNNNNNNNNNNNNNNNNNNNNNNNNNNNNNNNNNNNNNNNNNNNNNNNNNNNNNNNNNNNNNNNNNNNNNNNNNNNNNNNNNNNNNNNNNNNNNNNNNNNNNNNNNNNNNNNNNNNNNNNNNNNNNNNNNNNNNNNNNNNNNNNNNNNNNNNNNNNNNNNNNNNNNNNNNNNNNNNNNNNNNNNNNNNNNNNNNNNNNNNNNNNNNNNNNNNNNNNNNNNNNNNNNNNNNNNNNNNNNNNNNNNNNNNNNNNNNNNNNNNNNNNNNNNNNNNNNNNNNNNNNNNNNNNNNNNNNNNNNNNNNNNNNNNNNNNNNNNNNNNNNNNNNNNNNNNNNNNNNNNNNNNNNNNNNNNNNNNNNNNNNNNNNNNNNNNNNNNNNNNNNNNNNNNNNNNNNNNNNNNNNNNNNNNNNNNNNNNNNNNNNNNNNNNNNNNNNNNNNNNNNNNNNNNNNNNNNNNNNNNNNNNNNNNNNNNNNNNNNNNNNNNNNNNNNNNNNNNNNNNNNNNNNNNNNNNNNNNNNNNNNNNNNNNNNNNNNNNNNNNNNNNNNNNNNNNNNNNNNNNNNNNNNNNNNNNNNNNNNNNNNNNNNNNNNNNNNNNNNNNNNNNNNNNNNNNNNNNNNNNNNNNNNNNNNNNNNNNNNNNUCUUUGUUUUAUAUAUAUAUAUAUAGAUAUAUAUAUAUAUAUAUAUAUAUAUAUAUGUUCCGUAUAUAUUAAGUCAUCAUAAGGAGUACUAGUUAUGGGUCAGGCCAUAGGACACUAAUUCAAUGCAUAAUUUUCUAGUACAAAACAUACUUUUCAAUUCAGAACUUUUGAUAUACAAAACUAGAAACUUACUAGUAUAGGAUUCAAUCCAUUUUAUUAAACCAUCAUAACUUAAAGGACCUUAGGUUGUUAAAUCUACAAUACGUUAGUUUAAACAUCAAGUUUAUAUAUAAUUAAUAUCCAAUUGGUGGUUGGAUGUAUGAUUUCUGCCUCAUUCCAUGUUCCUUGUUUUGUUGUGGGCUUAGGGUAGAUUCACACAAUUAACUAUCUGUUAGAUAUUAGAUUAUAUAUAGCUAGUAUAAACUAAGUGAUUAUAGAAGGAACCACUGUGGUUACUAUUUUAUUAUAAGAAAUAAGGGUUUUCUUAAAGAAUCUUUUCAUAAAUUAUAAAGGAACUAUUACAAUUAACUCUGUGACUACCAAGGGAAUACGCCAAGGUUAUAUAUAACAAGAACCUAACAACCAAUGGGAUGUGUGUCACCCGCCUCGUUUCUUGUUCCUUCAUUGGUUUUCGGCUUAGGGCAUAUACAUACAAUCGAUUGUUUGUUUACUCUGUGUUUUAUAUAACUUGUAUUCAUUUAGUACUCACAGAAAGGAUUGUAGAGUCAUUUUUACUUAUCUUUCAUCAAACUAGGAAUAUAGGAUUUCUGGAGGAACAGAUGAACUUUUCUAAAUAAAACUUACAAUUUACUACAACUUACUAAGCUUUCUAGAACAUACAUAAAUCACUAAAAUCUUAUGAACUCACCAGCUUAAUUGCUGAUCAACUCUUUUAAAUAACUUGUAUUCUCAGGAAACUAGUAGGCAUGUACUUGCACUGGGAAUUCAGAAGAUGGAGCAGUAUAGCUCCAAGUCUUGUUUUUCUAUUUACUUAUGUAUUCUACGUUUUGUGAACACAUACUUUUUAAACACUUUCUUUAAAAUGAAGUGGUUUUUUAUUACUUCGCUUACUAUGAUGCAUGUCUUGUGAUACUAAACAUGACGUCCUCCACCCCAGAACGUUUCCGCUGUUCCGGUUUUGGGGUGUGACACCCAUAUCCUUUUACUUGAUAUUUGUGAUUGUUUCACAACUUCACAACACCAGCACUGUCCAAACUUCUGAAAUCUCUCAAAUUCUCCUUUCUCCUAAUCAUGUGAUGUAACCAACCACUAACGAUGUACCAUUUCUCAUCAUAUUGCUCGUUAUACAGUACUUGCAAUCAUUAAAAGGAUUUAGGUACCCAAGGCUGUUUGGGUCCUUCGUUAUUAGUUUGAAAAAGUGAAUGAUGUUUAGAACCUGAAGCCUAAUUUUGAACUUUCGUUUUGAAAGUAUCAAUUAAGUCGACAUCAUCAGUUAAAUAUAUUGAAAAAUAAUUUUUUUUUUAUAGUUUUGAACUUUCAGUAACGGUCUUCUCAUGCUUCUCAUUGUGCUUGUUCUUUGAUAUUGGUUGCCAUUUUUCAAUUGGAGUAUUUGAUUCUUUCGAAGAUGAAUUUCUAGAUGAAGUAUCAUUCAAAUACUGUUCAUCGGCCUUCUGGAUUUGAUAUUGAGAAAACUUUCCGGUUUGAUACUUUUUCCCUGUCUUCUCAAGCAAAUGAUUGAUUGUUGCCACCUCAGAUGAACCUUUUGUGUUUGAAACCUUAGUGGCUUGUUUUGUAGAUGGAUUCGGAAAAUUUGGUUUUUGUGGAGUAAAUUUUCGAAUGUUUUCAUUUGAGUGACCUUGAGCUUGUGGGUUAGGGAUAAUAAUUGGAGGAGGUGGAGGAAGUGAAGUUCCAAGAGAUUUGGGAUGAUCAUAGAUGUCUGAACCAGACAUCUUUUGGGAGAUAUUCAAGAUAGUUGAUCUAAAGUCCUUAAUAUAACACCCAAUAUGAAAUAUUAAGGCUAGGACCCAAAAAAAACUAUUUUAUAACUUGGAAGAGAGAUGAUGUAAUCCAAGCUAUAAAAUAUUUGAAGGUAGGUGAAUGACGAUUCACCAAUUUCCACCAAGAUAAACGAAAUGUAUUAUUAGGUUUUAUAUGGUUUUGAAACUCCUAGAUUCUUUUGAGAUUCAUUGAACUUUUCAAAGGCAUGUUUCAAUCUUGAGUGUGCCCUUCAGGUUUUGUGAAUGGGAUGCCGAUGAUAACAAAACAAGGUGUGAGUAACCAUGCAAAUGUACUUGGUACCCUUAACAUUUACCCCUCAACUGAUGUGUCGGUUAAUCACACACGCUCCAUCGACACUGUGAUAAACAUUAAGUUACCCUUCGUCUACCUUGUUAAAUAAAGCUAGUGUGUCGGUUAACCACACACGCUCCACUAACUGACAUAAGCAAAUUGCAAAGUGUAAUUUCAUGGGUUAGCACCAAAUCCACAUUUUCCUAAGUAAUAAGAUUGGGUAUUAAUAAGAGUUUAGUUACUUAGUAUUUAUCAUUAGUACUUUUAAUGAAGGGAGAAUUAUAGUCCUUGUCCUACCCGUUCAGCUAACAACCUCCACCGGUCAAGGAAGCGGUGGGUGAGAGUGGACACCCAUUAAACUGUCAUUUUAUAGGCAGUAACCUUAUACUCCCUUUAUAAAUUGGUUUCGUGAAUGAGGCCAACUAAUUGUAAGACGACUUUACUCUUAUAUAUAUAUNUAUAUAUAUAUAUAUAUUAUUAACUUAUAAUAUUAUAAAGUAUCAUGGUUGAAUUUUAACUUUUAAAAUUCUAAGGGCUUAACAUGGAAUUAAAGUAUUCAUAAGUGAAAACUUUAUAAAUUCCAAAACUUGAGGGCGAGUUUUUGAAACUAUUCAAAACUUUUCAUUACAUAACUUAUGAGUUUAAUGGUUCAUUAAAAUGAAGACUCUUCAUUUUUUUUAUGUAACAUCUUAUUCUUUAAUAACACUUUUAAAGAAGUGACUCUUAAACAUCCAUAACUUGAGGACAAGUUAUGGAGUCAUAAUACUACUUAAUUAAAAAAACUCUUCACUUUCUAUGUAACCAAUGGCACUUUUAUGAGUUUUAAGAUUUAUAAAUGUGACAUUUUAUCUAACACGAGGACAAGUUACAAAAACACAUUUUAUGAACUACCUCCAGAUUAAUUAGGAUUGAAAACAACUAAAACAUAAUUUUUUUCAUUAAUCUAAACUAACUCAUAAAUCAAGGUAACAUAAAACUCUUGGUAAUCUAUAACUUAUGGACUUAAAUGCUUGUUUUAUGAUGAAACUUUUCAUGUUCCAUUACUUAAGAUUAAGUUAUGGAAUUCUUUAAAUCAUUAACACCAAAUUUUGUAACUCCAUAAAAACUUUCAAUCAAUUUUUUUUUAAAACCUUUUCAUACCCAUAACUUAUGGAGGUUUCAACAAAAGAACUCGUUAGAUCAAACUUUUAAAACUUAUAAAAUAAUCAUAUCAUUUUAUCUUUUAUUAAAUUUGACCUAGUUCAACUCAUAUAUCAAAUGAUUUAAAUUUUAUAAAUAAUUAGUUUUUCACAAAAACAAGUAAUUAUCAUAAAAUUUGACAAACGUCAUGUUUUUUUUUUCCUUUUUUCAACAUUGAAAAUAAAAAAUUUGCAUCAAUAUAGCAAAAAAUAACCCAUGGCUCUGAUACUAGUAUUAGGUUUUGAGCAUUCUAACACUCCUAAGUGUACAUGCAACCCUAAAUACCUUGGAUCUAUGUUUUCUCUAUUAUACAUACAAAUAUGAAUAACCAAGGUAUUAUCCUAACUAGCAUACCAAAACAUUGAUACUAGGGUAAUAAAAUAGAUAGAAUACAUACCUUGUUGUUGUAACUUGUCUUAAUGAAGCUUGAGUGCCUAGUGCCCCAACUGUGACACCUCAAAUGGUUCACACAACACCAUGAACACUUGGAAUAAUCUUGAGAAUAAGGAUACUUUGGCUCUCUCUAGUGAAAUCGGCCUUGCCCUUUUGUGUACACACACUAGUCUCAAUUUCACCAACCAAGGACAUCUUUAUAUAGUGUGGAGAUUAGAGUUAAUUCCUAAUACCCAUGACCUUUCAUUUCAUAUGAUCCAUGGGUUAAGCACUCCAUGGACUAUCCAUGAAAGUUUACCCCAACCUAAAUGAACUUGGCCCAUCAGACAUAUACAUCUAAGAGUCCAUAUUUAAUUAGUUCCUUUUGAUCACCUAAUUAAUUGCAAAUUAAUUCUUGAUCAAUGCUAAUUAAAUAAUAUGAUUAUAUAUUAUAAUAUUAGAACUUAUAAUAUAUUAAUAUAAAUCACUAGUAUCCUUUUUCCACAUCUUGUCUAUCCAAUUGUCCCGAUUCCAUGCAACCCAAAUGGACCAUGCCGUGUCGGGUCAAGUCUUACCAAUUAUAGUUAUGGACUUAUACAUUAAUCUAACACGUUUCUGGGAAGGAGUUUACUUGAUGAAAAACCGGCUUUACUCAGCCAGAGUUUCUGCUACAAGAUAAAAAACUUCGGGGCUUACUUUGGGUUUUUGAUAUGAUAUCGAGGCUUCGGAGGGUUGUAAGUAUGUUGGUGGGACUGAAAGAAGUGAAAAAGUGUGAAAAGUGUUCUAAAAGAGGAGUGAAAAGCGGAGAAUCUCUCACUCUUUAAAUAGGUGCAAGGGUUCGGUCCGAAGGGGGGAGGAGGCGACACCUUUUCGGACAACUGGCGAAGGUGAGAGCAGGUGGCGGCUUCGGAUGCGAGGCGCGUCGGUUUCUCAUUGGGUCACAUCUUUUGAUGAAUCAUCGAUGGACACAAGUCGGACAUGCGGUGAUCUCGCAUGUGAGGUGAUGCGCUAGAUCCCAGCCAUGCGAAUUUUCCCGGUUUUCAAGAUUUUUCGGUUUUUGUGCCUAAAGCUUGCGAAAUUCAUAAGAUUCGCAUAUGAGCUCCGUUUUCAACGUUAUUUAUAUGCACGCGUAGGUGAAAUUAUACUCUACGACUUUUGUUUAGAUUGCUUCGGCUAUUUUUGACUUUAUUUUUAAUAUUAUUAUUUUUAACAAACCCCGAUACAAAAAUCUGUUAAAAAUUCAUAACUUAUUUAUCCGAGGUCCAUUUUCAUCUGUCUUUUACCGUUGUACUACUAUUGACGACACCUGCGAUUCUCGUUUAGGUUGUGUUAGCUAAAAAUCAUAGGAUCUUUAUUUCGAGUUUUUAGUUGUAUACUGUUAUAUUGAAUUUUAGAAAAAUCAUAACUUCCUCAUACGAAGUCAGAUUUUGACGUUCUUUUUAUAAGUGUUCUCGGUUUAACUUACUCUACAACUUACAUUCAGAUUGUUAAGGAUCAAAAGCCUUUUAUUGAAAACUCACUUUUUUACGCUGAACAGUGGUUUGCCCGUUUUGUCGCGGAUAUUCGUUUGGUCACAACUACUUCUUCAUAACUCGGAUUUUAGUGUUCUUGAUAUUUUUGAAAACCUUGUUACAAUCUCUAUCACUUUAUUCACCCCAAUCAAGAUUAUUUAUUACUUCAUUUUUGACGGUCGAUUAUGUAAAUAAACAUAGUAUACAAAAAUUUCUCUUUAUUAUUUUAAAAAGAACUAGAAAUUUAUCUAUACUAUUACACAGUUUCAAAAUAACGGGUUUUUACAUAUUGAUAUUAUUUUUUGUUUGGUUGGAAUUGACUUUUCUUUAUUAUAAUUGAAAUUCAGUAAUAGAGUAUAACUCUAUCUUCUCUUUGGUAUUCUGUUUGGAAUAUCAACCGAUCAAUUUCUGUUUGGUAUAGAUUAAUAUAUUCCUUUUGUUGCUAAAAUAUUAUAUUUUACAAGUAAUAAUUUACAAGUUACAUAUAUCUGGUAUCAAUAGAGAAAAGUGGAAGUAUAUUGAUAUUGUAAUUACAAAAUAUUUUUUUCAUUUUAAAAAAUGAUUACUUGGCAUUAUGUGUAUAUUUAUUCAUUUUAAUUUCCGUAUAGCUAACUUUUGUUUGUUUUUUUUUCACGUUUUGUCCUUAGAAAUAUGUGGCUUUUAAUUUAUCUUAAUUAUAUUCAUAUACAUAUAAGCUUUGAAGUAGACAUGAAGGCUUAGUGGUUAGUGGUUACAUGACAGAUCAAUUGUUACGUAUGUUGUUUAAAAGUUCAUAGAAUGCCUUCUUCCAGAUGAGGAAGUUAGAGGUUGGUUGUGAUGAGCUUUUGGAUUCCUUUAGAAAUGGUGUGGUAAAUAGGAAAAAUGCAUCCUUUUUUCGUUCUGUUUUUAACUUCAUGUACACAAUACAAGAUGGUGUUUAUAACCAUGACAUCUUAAAAUUUGAUGUUUUUUGUAGGUAAAUAAUCCUAAAAAUGAAAGUGGUUCGACUCGUGAGAUGAGAAAAAAAACCUAUUAAUUUUAUAGACAACAUCACAUAGUAGAAUGUUAUAAUUGAGUUUUUAAUGUAAAAUGUCCUAAUAAGAAAAAAAAAACUAUCAUCAUGUGAAGCCCGGGAUCAUCUACUAGUUAUACAAUUAUUUAAACUUAAAAAGUUAAAUAUACGGCAACCGCGUUUUUUUUCCUAAAUACUAAAAUAUAAUAUAUCAAUCUAUUGUGUCUUAGUUUAUCAUGGGUUAGUAAAAAAGUAUUUUUUAAAUUUAUUUUAAUAACAUUUAAGUUAAUAAAUUUGUUAAGUAAUAAGAAUUUACCUAAAUAAACUUAUAUAUUUUGCUUUAAAUAAACAACCCAACGUAAGAAUACCACUGAGCUUGUUUUAGAAUAACAUGUGUUCAUUAUUUAUUAGUGCACAUACAAGCAUGGAUUACAUUUUCAGUUACCUGGGACAUGCCGCAAAUUUACUAUUCCAAUAUUCUGAGUUUAUAAGGAUUUAAUUUAUAUAAAGCAAUAAUAGAAAUAUAAAAUUGUGAUUGAAAAAAAAAACAAAAUCAUGCAUUCUAUGUCCAUAAAAGAACAACCUAAAGUGGUCCGGUUUUUGGUUAAGGUAAAUCAAGAAUUUCGAAUUUUGAGUUUUCGGUCUAAUUAGUUCAUCAGGUUGUUUGGGUUAGGGCUAUUGCUCUUUCCUAUCUUUAUCAUGAAUCUGUCUUUAGAAUGGUACUAAUUUAGUCCAUGUAAUUUAAUUUAUAUUUUUAGACAAGUUUUUAACAGUAAAGUGGUUACUCUAAACUGACUUAAAGACUUACAUAUAAUGGAGUUAGAUAAAAAGUCAACAUGCUUAAGAAAAUGAAAACGUUUUGGAUGUAUUGAAUAUACAUCUUAGGAGUUUCUAGCUUCUAGGUUUCAAGAAAAUGCUCGUAAAAAAAGAUUUAUUCGGGAAACAGGAGCAUUUAACUUUUAGUCAAUACAAAACGCUACAAAAUAAAAAGCUACAGGGAGAAGCUUUUAACAAAACGUUUCAAAAUUAAACGCUACCAGCUACUCGCUACCCAUUAUCCGCUACUUUUACCAAACACGCCCUUUGAUUACUAGUAUCAAAUUGUUAAAACAUGGACUACAACUCUACAAGUACUGUUGGAGAUUACGUCGAAAAAUCCAAUUUUCUCUAAAGUAUAGGUUAACACAUAGCAUUUUUUCUUAGGGUAAAAUCGUCAUCGUAAAAAAUAUAACAUAAUUAGUUUUAACUACCCAAUGUUUAAAUGGGAAAUAAAAAGGAAAAAUAAUGAUGACAUUACGAUAAUUUCAAAUAUUGACCGAACUUGCCAAUUUUUGUAUACGACAGGGACCAAAUACGUAAAAUAUUUUAGGAAUAUUGAGUCAAAAACAUAAUCUAACACUUUACCAGGAAGUUCUAAUUUAAAACAUAAUUCUCGCUAAAGUUAAUCAUGAUAACAAUGUCCCCCACGUUUUGUACGAUGUUAUUGAGAAACUACAAAGCUUUUCUCCCAAUCAUGUGACGUGAGCAACCAAUAACGAUGUACCAUUUCUCAUCAUAUUGCUCGUCAUACAGUACCUGCAAUCAUUAAAGGAAUUUAGGUAUCCAAGGCUGUUUGGGUCCUUGGUUAUUAGUUUAAAAAAGUGAAUGAAGUUUAGAACCUAAAGCCCAAUUUUGAACUUUCGUUUUGAAAGUAUCAAUUAAGUCGUCAUCAUCAGUUAAAUAUAUUGAAACAAAAUUUUUUAUAGUUUUGAACUUUCAGUAACGGUCUUCUCAUGCUUCUCAAUGUGUUUGUUCUUUGAUAUUGGUUGCCAUUUUUGGAUUGGAGUAUUUGAUUCUUUCGAAGAUGAACUUCCAGAUGAAGUAUCAUUUAAAUACUGUUCAUAGGCCUUCUGGAUUUGAUAUUGAGAAAACUUUCCCGAUUGAUACUUUUUCCCUGUGUUCUCAAGCAAAUGAUUGAUUGUUGCCACCUCAGAUGAACCUUUUGUGUAUGAAACCUUAGUGGCUUGUUUUGUAAAUGGAUUCGGAAAAUUUGGUUUUUGUGGAGUAAACUUUCGAAUGUUUUCAUUUGACUGACCUUGAGCUUGUGGGUUAAGGAGAAUAAUUGGAUGAGGUGGAGGAAGUGAAGUUCCAAGAGAUUUGGGAGGAUCAUAGAUGUCUGAACCAGACAUCUUUUGGGAGAUAUUCAAGAUAGUUGAUCUAAAGUCCUUAAUAUAACACCCAAUAUGAAAUAUUAAGGUUAGGACCCAACAAACUAUUUUAUAACUUGGAAGAGGGAUGUCGUAAUCCAAGCUAUGAAAUAUUUGAAGGUAGGUGAAUUACGAUUCACCAUUUUCCACCAAGAUAAACGAAAUGUAUUAUUAGGUUUUAUAAGGUUUUGAAACUCCUAGAUUCUUUUGAGAUUCAUUGAACUUUUCAAAGGCAUGUUUCAAUCUCGAGUGUGCCCGUCAGGUUUUGUGAAUGGGAUGCCGAUGAUCACAAAACAAGGUGUGAGUAACCAUGCAAGUAUACUUGGUACCCUUAAUAUUUACCCCUCAAUUGAUGUGUCGGUUAACCACACACGCUCCAUCGACACUGUGAUAAACAUUAAGUUACCCUUUGACUACCUUGUUAAAUCAAACUAGUGUGCCGGUUAACCACACACGCUCCACUAACUGACAUAAGCAAAGUGCAAAGUGUAAUUUCAUGGGUUAGCACCAAAUUCACAUUUUCCUAAGUAACUAAGAUUGGGUAUUAAUAAGAUUUUAGUUACUUAGUAUUUAUCAUUAAUACUUUUAAUGAAGGGAGAAUUAUAGUCCUUGUCCUACCCGUUCGGCUAACAACCCUCCACCGGUCAAG
Molecule: long non-coding RNA, 59737 nt
Filed under: Lactuca sativa (garden lettuce)
Lineage: Eukaryota; Viridiplantae; Streptophyta; Magnoliopsida; Asterales; Asteraceae
Description: long non-coding RNA (LSAT_LNC008743)
Source: RNAcentral